This 87301-nucleotide long non-coding RNA is filed under the name Prunus persica (peach). RNAcentral describes it as "long non-coding RNA (PPER_LNC007405)". The stretch from base 86236 to 86323 matches the Rfam family "Small nucleolar RNA R11/Z151". Lineage: Eukaryota; Viridiplantae; Streptophyta; Magnoliopsida; Rosales; Rosaceae. The record is from RNAcentral.
CCAACAAAUCAAGAUUUGCACGCUUUAAACCAAACCAAAACUACUGUGAAAAUUUGAAGGAAAAAUAAUUAAAAUUUGAGCCUCAGUGUGUGUAACAAUCAGAUCAUUCACCCUAAGGUCUCACUGAAAUCCGCUAAGAUAUUUAAAAAUUAUCAUCAUAAGCUCCAUACUGCCAUAUAAACCCUACCAAACAAGAACAAUUUUACAGCAAAAAAAAAGCCAAUAAAUUUGAGAAAUUUUUUAUGGGUUUUGCAAAACUACAGAUUGGAAGAUAAUAGAAAACAGAUUAAGAGUGCUCAGACAGCCAAGGGUUUGUAAUCAAACUUUUGGGAGAAGAACCCAGAUCAUAAACUCUAGUCCAUAUGCAUAUCAAGAAAUUCUUCUCAUCAAUAUCAUCUAAUGCAUAACAUAUGAAGGCAAUCAAUACUCAUAUUUCAUAAUAUCUAGCAAUAGAUUCAUGACAUUCAUACAGACCCAUUGCAAACUGAUUGUAUCAAUAGGAUAUACUUACAUCUGGGGGUGUGGCUUUCAACGAACAAAAAUGAGAUUUUGGGAUAAUAAGAGAAUGCCUGCGAACAAGUAUGGAAUGAAACAAGGACUUUUCAAUGUUAUCCAAUAAUAUGAGAGAGAGAGAGAGAGAGAGAGAGAGAGAGAGAGAGAGAGAGAGAGAGAGAGAGAGAGAGGCAAUAAUCUACCCAAAAAAAUGAUGCUUUACGGAAAGUUUGAUGUUUGGUUCAAAUUAAAGAAGACGUACCAACAAACAAUCGUGACCAUUAAAUCAAAGAAGGGAAAAACUAUAUAUAUAAAGUAAGAUUCCUCUGAAGCAAGAGAGAAUAAAAAAGGGGAAAUAGACAUUGGACAAGGUCACAUGGAUCUUUAUAGGUGAAUUGCGUUGCUGGGCACAGAAAACUAGGGGGACAUUUUCCCCCGUCUACAAAAAUUUGGUGCCGCAGCCCAAUCAUAUAGAGUGGCUCAGCCCCUCUCUCCUAAGAUUUCAACGUUAAUUUUGAACUUAAAAGUGCUUUUGUUGUUUCCCCAAAUUUUGUAAAAAAAAAGUGCUUUUGUUAAUUGGCUUGCUUUAGUUGAGCCAGUGCAUGCAAUUAUAAAAAGGUGAUUGAAUGAAUUGGUAAGGUGACCUCACCAUUACCCGCUAAUUGGGAAAAAAAAGAAGAAAAAAAAAGAGAGAAGCUUUUGGUUAAAUCAAAGGUCUCUUUUGAUUAAUUUUGUGUUUGCUGCUUUGACAAAAGGGCUUUUGUUUCGGUUACUUGAGAUGGUAAAGGUAUAUCAAACAAUGACAGAAUUAGUUUUACUCACAUCCAAAUCCACAUCAUUAAGGCUUUCGAUAAUCUUUUCUUAUUAUAAUAUAGUUAGGUCAAUGAGGGCCUCUAAUCUUUUCUUUAUUGUGGUUCUAUUUUUGUCAAUGAUGAUUACUGUGGCCAUCUCUUGCCUAAAACGCAUCCAAAAAGGAGACGUGGGAUUAAAGGAUCGUUAUCUUUCCUCGUGAAUGGCGUUUGCUUAUUUGCUACUUAAUGGUUUAUUAAGUUAAACAGAACAUGAAAUAAAACACUUGAAGCAUGCACCGAAGUCACAUGUGUUACAUUAUCCAUAACAUUUUGAUCCGAUUCCGAUGGCUUCGUAUUAUACGAAGAUAUUGUAGCUGAAUACUUGUCUUGAUAAUAUAAGCCUAAUAUGCAUGUUCUUUGACAACAUAAUAUGUUAGAUACUUUAGAUAUAUUUUAGAUAAACCAUGUAUUAUGUGUUCUUAUUCAAAUUUACAGCUCACAUCAUACUCAUCAUUUACCGUUGAAAUCACCCACAUGUGGGUGGAUUGUAAAUUUGAUUCUUUAAAAGGGGAGCUUUAUAAUUACAACCUGAAAAGAAAAUUAAGAAGAGCUUUGAGAGUAUGUACUGCUGUUGGUCUUUGACUUCUGUUCUCCUACUACUGUUGCUUCGCUUUGUUUAAUUACAUAAUAAAUACUUAUACCGCAUCAUGAAUAACAGCAUAUGAUUGAUGAUAGGGAAGUUUAGGUUAAAAAUAAUAAUGGAUGGUGGAUCCGAGGCAGAAUUUUUUUUUCUUUAUUUGUUCUGCUAGCUAGGGCAGAAAUUUUUUCAAAAGAAAAAGUGAGAUACAAGACUUUAAUUGAGACACGACUGUCCAUGGCAGAAUAGACCAUGGUUACAAGCCAAAAGCCAAAAGUAUGACUAAAGAACUUUAAGUUUUGUUAUCUUUAUGAUGCUAAUGACCAGUUUUGCUAAAAGAAAUGGAAGAGAGAGAGAGAGAGAGAGAGAGGAAAAGGAGAAAAGAAAGAAAGUGAAAAAGCAUAUCAUCAUGAGGAAUCUCAAGGUGAGUGUGUGUGUGGAGAUAAGAGUGAAAUGGAAGUAAAUGCAGAAUUGAAAUGAAGGCAAUGGAGCUUUCGAAGAGAAAUCCAUUCCUGUCCACAACAUGUCUUCACUGAUAGUGCUCAAAUGGUCCUUUCAUUUUCCAAAAGUGAUGAGGACUCGUACAGGAGCUUUCGGACCCCCCACCUUCUGAUCAGUCUCACCCUUUUAAAAGUGAUGAGGACUCGUACAGGAGCUUUUGCGGCUUGUGUGUCUUUUCAUUGAUUACCUUCUUUUCAAAAUGAUGCGAAAUUUUGACUUCAUGGCCAACAAGGAAUGGUGCAUGCCUACAUUCCUAAUCCUAACACAAGUGUGGGAAUUGGAAUCCUAGAUAUAUAGGUUUGAUCUUUACUUGCUCAUUGGGAAAGAACUAAAAAAAACCUUAACAAUUGAUCAAAUUGCCAAAGGGUUGUUGAAUGGAGGGCCAAGUAUGCUUGGAUUUUCUGAUCAUAAAAUGAAUUUGAUCGGGGGAUUAUAGAUAAUUUACUAAUAUACAACUCACCAGUAAACAAAGGGUUGUUCAUUUCUUUUAAUUAAAGAAAAAUGAGAGAUACAAAAACUUGGAAUAGUUCUUUUAAUAUCGGGAAGAGAAAUACUAUUAAACCAGUAAGCGCACAUUUUUUUUUAAUAUAUUUUUUUUAAACCCUACAAACUUCAACAUAUAUAUGUAUAUUUAUCAUGUAUAUAUGUCUUGAAAAGAAGAGCUUUAAUAUAGUUUGUAGCCCAUAAACAAGGGUUUUUGAAGAUAAUGCUACAAAACACUUUUCCCUCUCAAAUUCAAAUGACCUUAUCAAAUUCCGGGCAAUGAAUACAUGGUUGAAUUUUAUAUGCAAGAUGUGUGGGAAAUGAAUAAAAAAUUGAGAGCAAUGAUUCAAGAUCGCCCUGUUUUAAUAAAAAGAGACACACACUUUCAUCAUCCGUUUAUAUAUAUAUAUAGGAUAUAGAUUGACAUUAUGAUGAUCACAUGCCAAAACCUAACAGUCUUUUAUUUUUAUUUUUGUCAAAGUGGUCCAUGAAAAGAUCCCAAGCUCAAAUGCAUACAUAAUAUAAAUGGUGCCAAUUUUUUUUUAGAACAGUCUUCUUGUUACGUUGUGGACCAUUUGGAACUAUACUUUGUUGGGGGAUUUAUGCACUUGUCCUUAGCUCGUUUUUGGGACACCCAAAAAAUAUUGCUAAUUCAUUUCUCAUGAGUGCAAAAAUUGUGCGAUCGAUAUGGAGGGAGGGCAAUGUGCUUCCUCAUGUUUUAUUUUAGUCUUUUCUUGGUGGAAUUGUGAUUCUCAUGUUUAUGCAUGUGGCAGUGCCAAAAAAAAAACAAAAGAAAAAAAAACCCUACAUGUAUUUGAAACUUUUUUUUUUCAAUUUGGAUAAGUUGAUGCUUGUGAAUUGUGGUGUAAUAAAACUCAACCAUUUGGGACGAUAUAUGGAGCAGGAGAACCUUCUCUGACUUUGAUAGCUUUGGUGGUGUCUGCUACAGAGACAGAGAGACAGAGAGACAGAAGAGACAGAGAAGGCCACCGAGCAGUCAGUGCUGCUAAUAGAGAAGGGAAAAAGAGAUUACUUUAAAAAGAAGAUAAACAAAGAGGCUGCGAUCACCAUAUUUAUAUAAAUGAAUAUUAAUAUAUGUUUUAUUUAUUUAUUUAUUAUAUAAUCGAUAAAACGAGGAAACACGCAGCUCCAGACCCAGAAAUUCCAUAUUAAACGCAGCAUGGGUUUUGAGUUUGCGGGUUUUGUCUGUGUUAUAACGGCAAAGCCUUGAUGUUACCUGGCUCUAUUUUACAUCAGAGAAUUCAAUACAAUUUUGUGGUCUCUAUUUGAUCCACAAUUAAUUUUCAAUGUGUAUUUUGACAAGUUGGCAAAUGGGGUUAGCCUAAUAAAAAAGAGUGUUGAUUUGUAUGCAUGUGGUCUUAAGUUCUGGUACUCAUUGUAUAUUAACAGUGUGUGUGAGAAAGAACAAGGUGUAGUUAUUAGUCCGAUAACUUCUCUUCCCAACAUUAAAAUAUGCUCGAAGUUUGAAUCUUCCUAGUUACUAAUAAAUGUUAAAAAAAGCACAAAAUAUGCAUGUAGUCUCUCUUUUAUUUUAUGAUCCACCAUAUUUUCUCAGCCCCCAACCCUACUUGCCUUGUAUUUAUUUUAUUUUCUUCCCUAAAUUUGGCUUUAUAAAAAUGAGAAAGACCCAUAGCCAUAGCCAAACGAAUUAAUACGCAGGACAUGUUCUAACGUGCCCGUCACGGUCAAUCACUGUCAAAUUAGAAACCAAAGCGUGCGGGCUCGAACUGUGAAGAAUGCUUUAAGAGUCCAACACGUGGUGGUGAGGCGUCUGUGGGCCGUCACAUCGAGUUUCAUCUUAUGUGGGCCUCCCGAUAUGGCCCAAGCCCAUUAUCAUAUUCGGCUAACGACGCAAAUGCACCAUCAAAUUCCAAACCUUGUCGUUUUGGGGAGUUGGAAAAUGACAACAUGUCUCGUGGCCCUGGGUCUUUCAUAAUGUAGGCGGACUAUGGAGGGCUUUGAUUACGUACCUCAGAAGCCCUGCAGUACCCAAUAUGCCCCGCUGUGACCACUUAAUGUCAUUCUUCUAUUGUCUUUCUUUGAAUUUUGCGUACUUAAACUUAAUUUAUUUUAGUACAAGUUUAGUCUAAAUUACAGAGAAGAUGGGUUAUUCUUUUUUUCUCACACACGCACAACUAAAAUGUCAUGAGAAGAUGGCCAGAUUUCCAAUUGGUAACUCAAAUUAACUGAGAAGACGGCCUAGACAAAACUAGGAGACUUGGAUUAAAGCAGAGGACGCUCUUGCUUUCAGACUAGAAGAAAAGUUCAGCAGGCAGAUGUGAGCAUAUAUGAUGUGGUGAACCUUGUUUUGAAGUUGAUGCUCGGAAUAUACCCUAUCAUUUUCUUGGGGUUUGUCUUAUAGACUUGUACAAACAGUUUCUCAAAAAAAACAAGGAAAGAAAAGAAAAGAGCUAGAGUUUCUUGCAUGGUUGAAACACAUCCAAUCCAAGCCCAAGUCCUUAGCUUUUCAUGCACAGAAAGUACAACCUUAGGUUUUAGCCCAAUUAUGUUUUAGCCGAAUAUCAGGAGCAGCUUGCAACCUUAGGGUUAGCCGUGUGUGAACGCAUGAUUCAUUUACGGUCGUUGAUGAUUUAAACAUGUAGAAUGCUUAUGGUUAGUCGUGUGUGAACAUAUGAUUGAUUCAUAGUAAAUUUAGGUUUUACCCAUAAAAAAACUUUCACUUUUGGAAAAAGCCAAAGCUUUUUAAAAAAAGACAAAAUAACCUCUCAACUUUCAAACCAAAGACAUGCAAAUGUAAAGGAUUUCUUAGGAAAUCAAAAAAUAAAUAAGGGCAAUUUUGUCCAUUUUUGCUUGUUUUAAAAAUUUUCUCUCUCCUUUGGGCUUUUCCUAAGUCCCCCUUGAUUCAUAGCCGUUGAUCUAUAAUAUAUAGACCUUAUUUUAAAAAAUAGUUGUAUAAAAUGCAAGCCAGGUUGUUUCCUGGGCUUUUGUAUUCGGAUCAAGCCCAUCCAAACCUUUUCAUUGUGCUGUAUCAAAAGUCGUCCACCUGCAGGUGAGUGAUUCUUAACCGUAUAUGCAUAUAAGGUCUAUAUAUUAUAGAUCAACGUCUAUGAAUCAAUCAGGUCUAAUUUUUUUUUUUUAAAAUAGUAUAGUCGUGUGGCUAUACUCAUUUUGACACGUGGUACCUUAUCGCUAGGCCGUGCCUUUUUUUUUUAAGUGUCACUAUUUCCACCCACUUGUCAUAUUUUUUGACCCACUUUAUCUCCCUACCUCCUACCAUAUAAAUUUGAAAAAAAUACAAUCUUAUCUAUCCACCCACCAUUAUUCAUAAAAUUAAGAAUCAAUUCCAUAUUUUUGCCUGUUUUUAUGUUUAGGUGUAGUAAAAUAUUCAUAAAAUUUAUAAAACUCUUUAUUUUUUAAAACAAAAACCCACCCGCCCCAAGCAGCCACCCCUUCCCCGACCCCAAUCCCUAGCCCCACCCCACUGCCCAGAUUCAUUCCCAAAAACCAAAGCCCCGACACCACCGCCUCCGCGUCCAUCACUGACGAAGAAUUGUAGGCUUUGCGAGAAGCGAAUCGGCGACUGAGAAACUCGCUGGAGCAUAAUCUCAAGCUCCUCGAAAACCUAUAUGGAUCUGCUUCUUUGCUGAACGAUUGCCUUCCCGAUGUAAGCAAAUUUUGGGUCGAUGCCCUUCUGAUCAAUUUGUGUACAAUUUCAAAUUUUUAUGUAAAAACUGAAAUGGGUAUAUUUUUUUUUUGGGUAGUCAUAUUCAGUUGUUUGCUCGUUUAAUAGCUACUGGGUUGUCAUAUUCAAUUUUGCUCGUUUGCUCGUUUGCUCGUUUAAUAGCUUCCGAUCAAUUUCUUAUGUUUUUUAAUUGGUUUUAAUGUUUCUCCCUGGUCUGGCGGGUUUUCUUAUAAAUAGUAUAGCCGGGCGGCCAUAUUCGGUUUUAUGAUUUUUUUAAAAUAUAGUAUAGCCGGGCGGCUAUACGCGAUGAUUCUAAAAAUAUUAUAGCCGCGCGGCUAUACUUAUUCUGACACUUGGCGCAUAAACGAAUAUCGGAGCAAAAAAUUUAAAAGAAAAAAAGAUCCCAGUAUAUAUAAAAAGUAUAGUCGCGCGGCUAUACUAUUUUUAAGACAUAUUAAUAAAACCUAGUAUAGCCGCCCGGCUAUACCACUUUUUAUUUUAAAAAGCAAAAAAGGGGUAUAGCCGCCCGGCUAUACUAUUUUAAAAAAAAUUAAAAAACCGAGUACAACCAAUCGGCUAUACUCCCGGCUAGAGAUAAGGUGCCACGUGUCGCACGGCUAUAUCAUUUAUAUAAAAAAAUAGACCUGAUUGAUUUAUAGCCGUUCAUCUAUAAUAUACAGACCUUAUAUACAGUUAAGAAUCACUCACUUGCAGGUGGACGACUUUUGAUACAGCACGACGAAAAGGUUUGGAUGGGCUUGAUCCGAAUAUAAAAGCCCAUGUAACGACCUGGCCGGCAUUUUAUACAACUUAUGAUGUUUAUACAUGUAACCUUAUACGGAUACUUGUGGCCAUAAUCAGGAGUCAAGCUAGGCCCCUCGCAGAUCAAAGUUGAAGAGGGGAAUUAACGGAUAAAAAGGGGAGAGCGAGAGAGCAGAAAGCCAGAACAGAAGCGGAAGAAGCCGAACUGUUGUAUAAAAGAGUGAGAGAAUGGUAAGCGCAAGCGCAAUGCGUGCUGUGCAACCCACAAUCCUCUCUACUUUUGUGGGUAACCGCUUGCUUCAGUCAGCGCAGCCUCUUCACCAACUCUUCAGCUACAACCCAGGUCCUUGCUCCUUCACUUUUAUUCUUUAUUUUAUUUUUCAGUCUUGGUUUCUGAAGUUAAAACGUUUAUGAUUCAGCUUUGGUUUCAAUUCUAUGUGUUCUAUUUGAAUGGGCUUAUAGUCAAAGGAAGGGUGCAAUAGUAUGCUUGCUAGUGUUUAUACUUGUAUGAAAUGGGGUGUUAUAGUUUGUAGCUAGCAUAGCUUAUUGGUUUUGUGAGACUGCUUUUAUAGCUGUAUCAACUAGAUACAAUUUCCCUAAUGCUUUGUGUUUCUGAUAUUAUGACUUGAACUGAAAAAUUGGUCUUUGGUACCAAGAGAACGAAACUUUAAUGCCUAAUUGAGCUCUUUUCUUGAAGAUACAAACUUUUUUCCCGUUGGAUGUCACUACCCUUUCUCUGUCUCCCCAACUAAAGUCCCAUUCUUCAGUUGCCAAAUCUAAAUUCCCGACAAAUUCUCUUUUCUCAGUCCCAGUUGCCACUGACCUUGACUACGCUAAAAUCCCAAAGGAGAUGAGAGUAUGGCGCGCUCAUCGAGCAAUCUCAAUCUUGUCCACAACCAAUAGCAAAGCCCCUUCUCCUUCUGAACUCGGUGUUUACCUACAACUAUGCAGCAAUUCGAAGUCUCUAAAUCAAGGAAAGCAUGUUCAUCAAAAGAUAAUCCAAUGUGGGUUGGAUCAAAACCCAUUCAUAGUCACCAAAUUAGUCCAAAUGUAUGCUGAUUGUGAUGAUUUGGUGUCUUCCUGGAAGUUGUUUGACAACUUGUUAAAACCAAAUGUCUUUGCUUGGACCGCGAUCCUGGGAUUCUAUUCGAGGCACGGAAUGCAUGAAGAAUGUGUGAGAGCAUAUGUUGAAAUGAUUUUGAAUGAUGUUUUGCCUGAUGGGUAUGUGUUUCCUAAGGUCUUAAGGGCAUGUGCACAGUUGUUGCGCUUGAAAGUGGGAAUUGUGGUUCACAAAGAUGUGAUAAUAUGUGGGUUGAACCUUAAUCUUCAAGUUUGCAAUUCAUUGAUAGAUAUGUAUUCAAAAUGUGAGGAUAUUGGGAGUGCUAAAAGGGUUUUUGAUGAGAUGGUGGGAAGAGAUUUGUGGUCAUGGAAUUCAAUGAUCUCAGGAUACGUGUGUAAUGGGUUGCUUGGAUUGGCAGUAGAACUAUUUGAUUGUAUGAAUUUGGGUGGUUGUGAGCCUGAUAUUGUCACUUUGAAUACAGUAAUGGAUGCUUAUUGCCGAAUGGGGCACUGUAACGAGGCUACGAGAAUCUUUGAACAGAUUAAGGAGCCUAAUAUCAUUUCAUGGACCACCUUGAUAUCAGGAUAUUCAAGGAUUGGGAGUCAUGAAGCAUCCUUGAGGAUUUUCAGGGAUAUGAUAGGAAGCAGCAUGGUUGACCCUGAUUUGGAUUCUCUUUCUACUGUCCUUGUCUCCUGUCGGCAUCUGGGGUCUUUGCUAAAUGGAAAAGAAAUCCACGGUUAUGGGAUAAAAAGGGAAUCUGGCAUUGCAUUUUACCACUCAGCUGGCCCUGCAUUGUUGACAAUGUAUGCCAACUGCCGUAGAAUUCAUGAUGCUACAAAUGUAUUUAAAUUAAUGAACCCAGCCCAUGUUGUUUCUUGGAAUGCCAUGAUUCUUGGCUUUAUUGAUUUAGGACUGGAAGAUUUGGCACUUGACAGUUUCAGAAGAAUGCAAAGAGCACGCAUCAACGUUGACCAAACGACAAUAUCCACUAUCUUGCCAGCGUGCAAUUUGAAAUUUGGAAAACAAAUUCAUGCCUUCAUUAGGAAAAUUAGUUUUGAUUUGGUUGUUCCGGUGUGGAAUGCACUGAUCCACAUGUACUCUAAAUGUGGAUGCAUUGGGUCUGCAUACUCUGUAUUUUCCAACAUGAUCAAUAGGGAUUUAGUGUCAUGGAACUCAAUGAUUGGAGGCUUUGGAAUGCAUGGGCAUGGAAGAGCUGCUCUUCACCUUCUCAAAGAGAUGAAUCAUUCAGGGACUUGCCCCAAUUCUGUAACUUUUACUUCUGUUUUAUCAGCUUGUAGUCACGCAGGUCUUGUGGAUGAGGGCCUUCAAGUCUUUCACAGUAUGAUGAAGGAGUACGGCGUCAUCCCCAGCAUGGAACAUUAUGCUUGCAUUGUUGACAUGCUGGCACGUGAUGGUCAACUUGAGGAUGCAGUUAGUUUUAUUAAUAGGAUGCCUUUGGAGCCUGAUAAGUGUAUUUGGGGAGCUCUGUUGGCUGCAUGCCAAGCCCAUCAAAAUGUUAAUGUUGCAAAGCUUGCUGCUGAACAAUUAGUCCAGUUGCAACCGGGAAAUGCUGGGCAGUAUGUCACCCUGUCAAAUAUAUAUGCAAGAGCUGGAAGAUGGGAUGAAGCUGUACGAGUGAGAAAGAAAAUGGAAGCCCAAGGAUCGGUGAAGCCAUCUGGAAAUAGUUGGUUUGAAUGUGGAAAUGGGACAAAUGAAAUAUCUAAUGAAUAGAAGUAUGGAUACUUUGUGUUCAAAAGCUUUGGAUGAGCUUGGUCCUAAUACCUAAUCCCAUGUGACCGGCCUUCAAUUUGUACAACUAAUUAAUUAGGCAGGAUUUUGCGAAUUCAUUCAGGGCACUUGAGGACAUAAUGAUAAGCCAAGCAAGGCCCAUCCCAGGAACCCAAAAUGCACAAAUAAAAGAAGAGAGAGAGAGAGAGAGAGAGAGAGAGGGGUCAGAAGCCAAACCAUGUAAGAGCGAGAGAAUGGUAAGUGCAAGCGCAUUGUGUGUUGUGCAACCCAAAAUCCUCUCCUCUCUUAUGGGAAACUGCCUCCAUCAGUCAAGCAGCCUGCUCACCAACUCUUCCGUUACAACCCUGGUCCUGGUCCUUCACUUUUGUACUUCUUUAAUUUUUGGUUAUUGAUAAUAAUAUUUCUGAUGCAGCUUCUGUUUCACAUGUUAUGCACAGUUUUUUCUUUUCAUCUGAUUUUGGAUCUUUUCCCUAAGGUUGAAUCAGUUUAGAAGUCAAAUAAUGAAUGCAUGUCGUUGUGAGUUAUUUAUAUUUGCAUGAAAAGGUGUUAUAAUUUUUGGUGAACCGAGCUUAUUGGUAUUUGAGAUUGCUGUACUGUGACAUACCACAUACAAUUACAACCAUGCUUUAUUAUUUCUGAUUGUGUGACUUGAAUGAAACAUAAAAGUUCUUUGAUACCAAAUGAAUGAAACCUUAAUGCCUAACUGAGCCAUUUUCUUGGAAAUGUAAAAGUUGUCCUGUAUAAUACCAAUAGUUUCUAAGAAUCUACAAACCAAAGCCUAGAGUAACAAUUUUAUGAAAUCAACAUUUAAUGGACUUGUUUUUCCUAAUUUUUAAACAUGCGAAUAUAGUGAUGGUCAUUGUUAUUUUCUUGGUUUCAAAUUCUCAUACACAGGAAGCAAGCAUGUUUCGAUGCAGUUAUCCAAAAGAUUUUCUGGCUUGACCAACCUUUUGUUCAAUGGAAGGUAUGGCGUGCAACAUUCUGCGUACUCACAUGUGUUAUAUAGACACAGAGGCACACACAACACGGGCAUAAUAGUAUUAUUUUAUGCACUUUGGGACACUGUUAAAAGUGUAUGAAUAAAUCAUACCAAUUGGCUCCCAAUUUGUAUAAAUGUUGUCUGUAGAAGUUCAAAUGACUACAUAUGAUAUUAUGGUAUUAUUUAUUAGCUUCUAGCUUGUUUGAUCUAAUUCUUGACCUCAUCAUGGCUCUAUUUUUGGGUUUUUAUAUGAUGAUGAGGUUUCUGGACUGGGAUUUUGAAACACUGCAUGAUUUUCAAUUAUGUAAUGCACAUCAUGUAAGAUACAUAUGCAGACACGUCUUUGUAAACUCGUAAGUGAUGGAUAUUUUGUUGAAAUUAGCAGAAAUGCAGAUAAAUUUCUAAACACCAAGCGCAAACGUCUAAGGCCUGGAAAAAUUUCACCACAUCGCCCUGUUCCAGAUCAUAUACCAAUGCCUCCUUAUGUCAAAUCUAAAAAACCGCCUGGGAUUGCAAGUGGACCUGAAGUGCAUGAUGAGAAGGGGAUAGAAUGCAUGAGAGCCUCCGGAAAACUUGCAGCACAUGUUCUAGAAUUUGCUGGGACUUUGGUCAAGGUGACUGUUCUGCUUCUGGCUUGUUUAUCUAUGUUUACACUUUCUCUGUAGAAUGAUUUUUUAGGUCAAUUUUUUUCCCUUAUGUCAGAAGCUUGUGUUUGGCAUUGAAGUAAUUUUUAUUUGUUUUUGCAGCAAAGUAUACAUGGAAAAUAACAAUCGGUUUAGGAACCAUACAGUAUUAAUACACAAUAACAUUCAAAUAGAGCUUUGUAGAAAAGAAUUCGAAUGGCUGAGACCUAUGCUGUCCAAAAAAUGUAGUCUAUUUACACUAAAGGGUAUAAACAACUGCCCUGAAAAAGCGGAUCCUUUACCUGCCUAAACCCUUAAAAAGUGGCUGCCUACUUCAUACAAUUCCAGAAUAAAACUCUCUCUCUCUCUCUCUCUCUCUCUCUCGUGUAGCCCUCAUAUCCUAAUGAAAUAUCGAGGGUUUCUCUGUUAUGCAUGUAGAGUAGAAGUACUUGAUGGGGGAAAGUAUUGAAAAGUGUAUGAUUCUACUGAGAGAAAAGCUGUUAGAUCUGAACUCUGUGUGUGUGUGAGAGAGAGAGAGAGAGAGAUGGAGAGCAUGUGGAUAGGGUAAAGCAUGUGGCCAAUGACGGCUAGGCUGAUAGCAGCGAAGAACAUAGACUACUCUGGUUAAGUGGUUUUAACAUAAGGGGAAGGCUGGUGAGACCAUAGGAAUUGAUAAUAAGACUCGUGUAGGCGAUUAAUGCAGAGAGCGUAUGUGUUGAUUGAAGGCGACAACUUUACUUUGUUAAAUAAUAUUCCCUUAGUGUAAUCAAAAUUACAGUAUAAAAUGAUUUGACAAUGCUUGAAAACCCAAGUUCUUGCCCAGAAAAAAAAAAGGUUCUUUACAGUAGUGAAGAUUCGGCCUGCUUAUUUUCCAGAAGUCCCAGGUCCCCCAAACAAACCAGAAAAAGAAGAAGAAAGGAAAGGUCUUUCUUCAAUUUGCUACUUUCUUAGAGAUUCUAGAGUUGGAUUUAGUAAAACCUAGAUGUUGGAGUGUAAAUCUGUAUGAUAUUUACUGAACUGAUCUUUCCCUUUUUCUUUUGGUCAUUGUCGUUGUCAAGCUACUAGGCUAGUGCAUGAUGCAUUCAAGAUUUUGCAAUCUAUUGUUAGUUUUUGUUGUUAGCUAAUAAGUGAUUGGAGAUAGAUUCUUGAGAUGUAAGAGGUGGGUGUCUUGGUCUGUAUGAAAGUUUUAAUUGGUUGCUUCUAUUGGCAGCCAGGCAUAAAGACAGAUGAAAUUGACCAAGCUGUUCACCAAAUGAUAAUUGAUAAUGGUGCCUACCCGUCACCUCUUGGCUAUGGUGGUUUUCCAAAGAGUGUCUGCACAUCAGUGAACGAAUGUAUUUGCCAUGGAAUACCAGAUUCCCGAGCACUUGAGGUUUCUUUGAUUAAAGUUCUUAGCUACAACAUCGUGUCCUUCUAAGUAAUGAAUUGUUUCAAAUCAAAAUCACAUCUAUUUUUUUUUCUCUUGGCAGGAUGGUGAUAUAAUUAACAUUGAUGUUACGGUCUAUUUAAAUGUAAGUAUGGUUACUUAGAGCAUGCUUAGUUUAAACAAAAUGAAAUGAGAUACACAAUUCAAGACUUGAGGGUUGCCAAGUUCAACCUUUAGUAUAUAUAUCCUUCUGAAUGAUUUGUAAUUUACAGGGAUAUCAUGGUGAUACAUCAGCUACUUUCUUCUGUGGAGAUGUUGAUGAUGAGGGCAGAAAGUUAGUUCAGGUGGCAAUAUCUUUCUUUUAAAUUUUUUGUUCCAUGGGUUUUCCACGUAUUUGGUACUGUAAUAUGAUAAAAGUUCUUCACUGAUAAAGAUUAUUGUUAGAAUUCUAGGGUUUUUCUUUGUAGGCACAGCACAAAGUUCCCAUUAGUUUCACAAGAAUUCAUUUCACUUGAUUAAUUCCACCUAAAAGUUUAUUAGCCUUAUGUAAUGGAACUUUUCCUACCCUGUAUAGCCAAUAUCUUUUUGAAUGCCUGCCAUCAUCUCUUUGAUACAGGUGUACGUCCAAAAGUGUUGUUCACUGGCGGGUUUUCAGAAACUUGAAAAAAUGUUUCAGCUACCCCUGUUCUUGUGCUUUUGGAUUUUCUUUAUUUGUUUGUGUACCUAUAAUUUCAACUUAUUGCAUUGGUAUAGAUGGCCGAAGGUGAAAUUUCAUGAAUCUUGGUAAAUUAUAUCUUCCACUUCCACUUCUUUAGUUAUAGACUUGUAGUGAGGCGAACCUUUCCUGGCUGAAAUUAGUUAAUUGUAUGCCUUUAACUUCUCAAGAUGUUCUUCUGUGAUAGCUAUUCUUACAAGAUUUAUUUUUGAAGUAUUGCCUUAGGUAACUAAAGAAUGCCUUGACAAGGCAAUCUCAAUAUGUGCACCUGGAGUGGAGCUUAAGAAAAUUGGAAAAACGAUCCAGUAAGGCAUCUUCUUCCCCCACCCCCCUAAUUCUGUAGUUCUGUUUUCUUCCUUAUAUGCAGGAUUCUGCAGUGGCAUUGGUGCAAUAAAUUUUUUCUUUUUGUCAAUGUGUCUUAAGGCUGACUUGUCAUAUACAUGCAUGCAUAAGUCACAUAUGGAUGUGAAAAUUCAAUCUUAUUCUAAUAAUCAAUGGUUUUUUGUUUUCCUCAAUAAGAGAGCAUGCAGAUAAAUAUCGUUAUGGUGUUGUUCGACAGUUCGUUGGGCAUGGGGUUGGACGUGUCUUUCAUGCCGAUCCAGUUGUUCUACACUUCAGUAAUAAUUCUGCGCUUUAUGCUGCUCAUGUCUCCAAUAUUCAUUCAUUGUUUGAGCAAGUCAUGCAAAUUAUUUAUUAAAACUUACGGUCUAGAAAUAUUCCUUAGACUAAUUAUAUUGAUGGCUGAAAGUUUAUUACUGAUCAGUAUAGAAAACAUGUGCCAUAAAACGUAAAAGUAAUUAGCUGUGCUGUCGUAAAAUGAUCUACAACCUAUACUUAUCUACUAGCUCAUGAAAGAACCCCUCAUCUUGCUUGGGAGUGAGAAGUUUGUAAUUCAGUAAUAUAAAGCAUUAAUCUGCCUUAUGUUUCGUUCUUGAAGUAUGCAAUAUAUUGCCACUAAUAUGCAUGGAGACACACAUGGGACACACAAUGUGCAUCCAGAAUAUCUGCCAACAGAACAUAUUCCGGUUGAAGUGAUUUUUAUUCCUUGUAGGGAACAAUGAAAGCGGACGCAUGGUGGUAAACCAAACCUUCACAAUAGGUAAUGCAUUUUGAUUAUUCAAACUUACCUUCUCUUUGGAAAAAGUUGUUGCUUAUUUGUGAUUUACUUGUUUCGUAACUGUGUUCAGAACCGAUGCUGACACUAGGCAGCUGUAAUCCCGUAAUGUGGGACGAUAAUUGGACAGUAGUCACAGAAGAUGGAAGCUUGUCAGCACAGUUUGAACAUACCAUUUUAAUAACCGAAGACGGGGCUGAGAUACUAACUCGGUGUUAGUGAUGGUGCUAGACCUUAUACGAUAGAACCUAUAGAUUCCCAAGUUUGGGAAUUAUACUUUAUUGGAGUUGCAUCUUCCAAGUUAAAAAAUUUAUGUUGGAGGUGCACAUAUGUUUUGCUUUUACCAUUAUUUUAGAUGAUUCCUUUAACUGCAUACAUCAUGUUAUUGUUAUUUCUCAUAGUUGUAUCUUAUACAAGGAUAUGGAUUUUCAGUCUUUAAGCAUUGGAUUAUUUCUUUCAUUAAGCUGCUUUUUUUUUUCCUUCCUCUUCCCCCUCCUUUCGGUUCGGACACAAAUUGGUGAAAAUAUUGCACUCAUCUAUCAUAUUAUUAAGGUGGCAAUUCUUCGAUGUCUUGAAUGUGAUAUUUAACUGAUUUAUGCUAAUCAUUACAUGCUAUGGUUGUGGUGGGAAGGAAUUUCUUUCCAACCAUUAAGUUGGUGCUGGUAUUUUUGGAGUAUGGCCAAUGGACGUCUCAUCGUCGGAUGGAGCUUGUUUGCUUUGUCUCGUUGGACUGCAACUAGUUCAAUAGGCAGAACUAAUACAAACGUUAAUUUCAUUGUUUCAGCUCUAGUUUUGUCUUCAGAGUUUUGAAAAUUCUGCACGGCACAGAUUGUAAAGGAUAAAGGUAGGGAAGGUAGGGAAGAGUUCACAACUGUUCUUCAUGGUGUUCAAUUUUGUGAAGUUGUUUGGCCCUACACUAUCAAUCCAUUAAAUUUUUUCUAUUUCUGGUAAAGGUUGUUUUGGCAACGCAAUACUGUUAGACAUACGUACUGUUUUGAACGUGUAAGCAACUACUCCACUGAAAGUGGGAAAUGGUUUGUAUUUGAUUUGCUGAUUUGGGCAAUUGAAGUUUUGAUAUUUACUUGUAGUUUUGGGACCUCAAACUCGGAUUCCCAUAUUUCUGAUGUUUAUUCUCAUGCUGUUGGAUUUAUUAUUAUUAUUAUUAUUAGUAUUAUUAUUCUUUUAUCGACAUUGUCAUUCGUUUAUGAAAUUUAAACUCAUGACAUUCUACAAUAAAGUAGACAGUAGUCGAGCCACUGGACGAAAUAGUCUUAAAGAAAGUUGAAUGCAAUACGAUUGUUUGGUAUGUAAGCCCAUUGUUAGACCACAUAUACAUACUUUAGAAAAACAUAUGCAGCACUAUACGCAUCAGGAAAUACAUUUACGAUUGUUUGGCAUGUCCAAGCCCCAUAGUCAAACUCACCUAACUAUCCAUGUUACUAAUUAAUAUCUGAUAAAAGCAUGAGCAUGGCUCUAACAUGACCUUGUUUCUUCAUAUCUUGAUCAUGUAGCCAAUUUUAGUUUACAUGGGUUCAAGUGUAAAUUGCAAAACCUUUUUUUAAUAUAUUAGCUUUCAUUUUCAAAUCAUUAUGCAGCCAAUCCCAGCUGGCCAACCCUGUACAAGCACAUGGGUUUAGGGUUGAAAGUUUGAGACUUUACCUAUUUAUACAUGAGGAGGUCCAUGCAUCGUCGUCAUGUAAUAGAUUACUUGCUUAGCAAGCUGAAAAUCAAAUAAUGUCUCUGCGUGAAGAAAUCAACCCAUCAAGCUAUGGUGAUAAAAUCACUGUUCUAAGCAUUGAUGGUGGUGGAAUUAGAGGCAUCAUCCCUGCAACCAUAUUGACUUUCCUUGAAUCCAAAUUACAAGUAUGCAAUUAUCUAUGUACUAAUUAUCAUCAUCAUCCAAAUUACAAGGAAAAUUUAGACUGAUUUUUGUUUUGUUUUUUGUUGUGUAUGUGUGUGCUUAGGAACUGGAUGGAGAAGAAGCCCGAAUUGCAGAUUACUUCGACGUGAUCGCAGGAACAAGCACAGGAGGCCUAAUAACAGCCAUGUUGACAGCACCUGACCAAAACAAACGACCUCUCUAUGAGGCCAAAGAUAUUGUUCCAUUCUAUCUCAACCAUUGCCCCAAAAUAUUCCCUCAAUCCAGGUUCAUUAAUAAUUAAUGAUCACUAAUUAUAUAAUUUCUUUUGCAAGUUUAGUUCUAAUUGCAUCCCAUGAUAUUAAUUAAUGGAUAAUAUAGUGGACCACUUAUGAGAAUGAGAGCCUUAAGGGGACCCAAAUAUGAUGGCAAGUAUCUCAGAAAGUUGGUUCGCAAAAUACUUGGAACUCGAAGACUGCAUGAAACUGUAACUCGAAUUGUGGUGCCUACAUUUGACAUCAAAUUGCUUCAACCCCAUGUCUUCUCAACCUUCGAGGUAUCAACUUAUAACUUAUAAUUUCAUAAGUUGCACAUACAAUUUAUUAUAUAUCACUGAGAGAUUAGGAAAAAUAUGAUAUGAUAUGAGUAAUGUAUAGCAGCAUGGUUGAAAAAUGUUCGCAGGCAGAGAUGGAAUUUUCUGAGGAUGCAUUGCUAUCAGAUAUUUGCAUCGGUACUUCGUCUGCUCCAACUUAUCUCCCAGCUCAUCAUUUCAAAACUAAAGAUUCAGAAGGAAAUGAAAGGGAAUUCCACCUUGUUGAUGGUGGGGUGGCAGCAAACAAUCCUGUAAGUAUCAUAUAUUUACCAACCACAUCUCUCAUUCAGGUACGGUGAGAUUUGUUUGAAAGAUAGGGUCAAAUGUGGUACAAAUAGUUUUAUUGAAGUUAUAAUGAUGCUUGAUACUAAUUAAUAUGGUACCAUGGUCCUUAAUUCAUCCAAGUACUUGUUUAUGGAACAUCUUUUCUUUGUGCUUCCCUUCUUAUGAUCAUUUUUGUGCGUGUGAUUUGAAUUGGAAAGGCCUUGCUGGCAAUGAAGCCAACAGGGAAAGUGUUCCCAGGCAGUCCAGAUGAUCUGGCCUCACCACAAAGUCUACAAUAUGAGAAAUACCUUAUGCUCUCACUGGGCACAGGGACUUCAAAGAUGGAGAAAAAAUACAACGCAAAAAUGGCAGCAAAGUGGGGGAUUUUGGGCUGGCUUUAUAAGGAUGGCCAUUGCCCUUUAGUUGAUGCCUUCACAUUUGCUAGCGGAGACAUGGUCGACCUUCACAUGUCCUUGAUUUUCAGGUCUGUCAAAUGCGAGCACAACUACCUUCGCAUUCAGGUACAUAUAUUUCAUCAACCUAAGAAAUUAAUGCUAUAAUUUAUGCAUUCCAUAUACAUCUCUAAUCGAAGCAUAUUCAACUUGAGGUCAUUUCUGUCUCGGUCAAAUAUGUGAUCAAUAAUGUCAUACGAAUAAGGGUUUCAAAGUAUUUUUCAUAAUUCAUUACUAUGUGAGAGCUGCAAUCUAGGAUGACACAUUAAGUGGGAACACAUCAUCGACAGACAAGGCAACAAAGGAGAACAUGAGGGAGCUAAUAAAGACUGGUGAGAGUCUGUUGCAGAAGCCUGCUUCAAGGAUGAAUCUUGAUACAGGGAUAUUUGAACCAGCUCACAAUGGAGCCACCAAUCAAGAAGUCCUCACUAGGUAGUGACGUCACAUAAUGUAUUUCAUAACCACUAAACUUAUAUAAAGCUAAUAAUUAAGCUAAUGAUUAAGCAUUAAUACUUGUGUUUGUGGCUUGGCAGAUUUGCUCAAAAACUAUCCGAGGAGAGAAGACUGCGAAAGGAACGAUUACAUCAGUGGUCCUCCAUUUGAUUACAAUAUAUAAUAGAUUCAUUAUCUUAAUUAUAAUUGUGUUUAAGUGAAUUUAUACUUGGUAUUAGAAUCAUGAUAUUGGCAUAUUGCUUGACACAUCUGGUGCAAGUUUUAUUCAUUAAUAAUAAUUGAUAUAUAUAUAUAUAUAUAUAUAUCUCUCAUUUGCUCGCCAAUUUUUAUUUUUUUUAUUUUCAAAUGGUUGUAAUUUUCCAAUUUUCGUGAAAAUAAUAUAUUGGUUAUUACAACUUUUAUGUGAGACAUCCAUUGUGGACCCGUACUAUAUACGUUUUUGAUAAUUAUGAAACGUGUUGAUCCAACGGAUAUAAGUCGAACUCAAGAUCUGAUGAACUUUAGCUACACCAUAAAACCAACAAACGAGACAUAUAAUAUUAUAUAUAUAUAUAUAUAUAUAUAUAUAUUCCACUUGUACCUAAUUUAUGCAUGAUGACAAGACACAAGGAUGUCAUAGUUAAAUCUAAUUUUGUAAAUGUUGGCAACAACAACAACAAUCCUAAUUUUGUAAAAAGUUAAUGAGCUAAUUUAAUUUAUGUAUGUUUAUAUGUAUGGUGGUACAUAAAGAAAACGAUUAGUUGUGACUUUAAUCAUACGUUCCAAUAACAAACAUGUAAUUAAAUUUGGACCAUAAUGUUGCCACUUUGUACAUAAUCUCGUGGUAUUAAUUUUUUUUUUUUUUCAAAUAUUUGAAAUUUCAUACCAUGCAUAUUCAUAUAAGAUAAGUUGUUCUAAUGAGUUCAAGUAACGAGAAAAUAUGGAAUAAUAAUUGUUUGUGCAAAUAAUCUCAUGGGAGAAUAUUCGCUUUUAAAUCCUUCAACUUUCGAUCUUUCUUCUCUCUCUUUUUCGAUUCCUGUAAAAAAGAUUGGAGUAAAUAGACCACACCCGGGGGAUGUUGGCCAAAGGCCCUCCGAUGCCUAAGUUAGUUCGAGUGUUUUUCGAUUCCUGUAAAAAAGAUUGGAGUAAAUAAACCACACCCGGGGGAUGUUGGCCAAAGGCCCUCCGAUGCCUAAGUUAGUUCGAGUGUUUGUAGGAAAACAAUAGUUAAGCAAAGGGUACGGAGUUGUAUGUAGGGUGUAAAACGGGUGGCCGGAGCCGUGUGGAGAAAAUAUGGAGAGUGGAGAGAGAGCUUCAGGUAUUUUUCUCGGGUAUUAGGAGUAGGUUUAGAUGUACCUUGAAUGAUGAAUGAUGUCGUCUAUUUAUAGGAGCCUCGGGGCUAAGGUUUCGUAGGGAUCGAGUCGGAUUUGAUAAUAUCCGAAUUAAAUAUAUUAUCUCUUAAGAAGAUAAUAUCUGAAUUAAAUGAUAUUAUUUUCUCUUUAUUAGGAUAAUAUCUUAAUUAAUGAUAUUAUCUCUUUAAAUAAAGAUAAUAUCAUAUUAAUUAAGAUAUUUAUCUCAAUUAAUUAAUUAGCCAGAUAAACUGGUUUAAUUAAUUAACUUAAGAGAUAAUCUUCUUUUCCACGUGGCAUGCCCUGAUUGGAGACGAAAAUAUAUGCUCCCACAAUAAUAAUAAUAAUAGGUUAGGAUUAUGAUAUGUGGAGGGUUUGGUAGUCCAUACCCGAUACCCUCCAAUAUAAUCAAGAAACAUAAUGCUUUCUUUAAUAAUUUUUAACAUGCAUAUGGGUGGCACCACAUCAAAAAGGUGGGCCAAACUCUCCCUAUUCUUUUUUAAAAAAAUUUACUUGUAAUCGAGAUAAUAUUAUUUUGCUAUUCUCAAUUAAUAACAAAUUAUUUAUUAUUGUAUUAUUAAUCGAGUUAGCAAAAAUUAGUAUUCCCGUUGCAUGAAAGUUUAUCUCUUCCCCUCUCUAGAAAUGAUAACAACAAAGAAAAUUUUAACAUAUAUUAUUAGAAAGAAUGUCUCAUUAGACACACAGAGAAAAAGUUCAAUAUGCCACGAAAGUAUUGACUCUUAUCCUACAAUGUCAGCAGGUGAGAUCACAGAUCUUUCGAGAUCCCUAGACCUCCACCCGGUAAGAGUUAACAACACCCGCCCUUUCUGUCUUCUAAUUUACAGCCACGUGGUGAAACCUAUAAAAAUAACCUCCAAUCCAUCCACAGUUUUCCACCUCGUGUCCACUCUCGGUUUCAGAGAAACAUUUUCCCUUCCGGCCCUCCACCAAUUUUCUCUCCAUCUCUUUUAAAUACAAUUAUUUUCAUUUUCCUUCCAACCAAACACCCCGGAAUUUUCCCGAGAAAUUCUAAAAUGGACACAACGCCGAUUAACUGGGAAGCCCUGGACGCUCUCAUCAUCGAUUUCGCCAAAUCCGAGAAGCUAGUCGAAGACUCCUCCUUUACGACGUCGUCUUCUCCACCCUCUUCCCCACCCUCUUCUUCUUCUCCCUCCUCUAUCUCCUCCUCGACUUACCACUCGAGAUUGAUCAUUCGCCAGAUCAGACGGUUGUUAGAGGCCGGUGACAUUGACGCCGCCAUCGAUCUCCUUCGCUCCCACGCCCCUUUCAUUCUCGAAGAUCACAGGCUCCUCUUCCGCUUGCAGAAACAGGUACUCUUAGCUGUUUGGCUGCCGAGAAAACGCCCGAAAAUAUUGUAAAUUACAGUUUUUAAGGGUUUUAUUUGUUUUUUUUUUUUCAUAUCAAAAUUAUUAACUUUGUGCUAUUUUCUUGAAGAGGUUUAUUGAGCUAUUGAGGAGAGGAACCACAGAGGAUCGUGAUUGUGCAAUUAAUUGCCUGAGAAAUGCUCUUGCUCCUUGUGCCCUUGACGCUUAUCCGGUACUUAUAAAACUUGAUCUUUGUAUCAAGCAUCGUAAAGUUUCUUUCUUUCAAUAAUCUUCUAACGGAAUUCACCACUAAGAGACUAGAGAGGUUGGCUAUAGCUCUAUUGUCCGUGUGUCAAAAUUGAGCAAAUAUGAGUAUUGGGUUUGUGCUAGUUUACUAAAUGUUUGAUGCAAGUUGCUUACUCUGUUCAAUUAUGAGUUCUGAUGGAUGUUUUUAUUGCAUUCAAGGAAGCAUAUGAGGAAUUCAAGCAUGUACUUCUUGCUUUUAUAUAUGACAAAGAAGAUCAAACUUCUCCAGUAGCAAGCGAGGUGGGAUAUUUUAUGUAAUGUCAACGCAACUAUGACCUAUGGUUCUUUUCUUUUUUCCCCAUACCAUACAUGUAGACUGACGUAAAGGGCAUGUUUGUUUUAUGUUUUCCAGUGGUCUGAAAGGAGGAGGUUUGACAUUGCUGGAUUGAUUUCCACUGUCUUAAGAGCCCAUUUACAUGCUUAUGAUCCAGUCUUCUCGAUGACAUUGAUAUAUUUAAUAAGGUGUUACCUCAUUGACUUUAAUUUAGUUACUUGCAAUCAACAUUAUUGUAUUCUUUGGGGUGUGAGUGAGUGAGAGUGCCUGUGUGGUGGGGAUACAGCACAGGCACUAGAUUCAUUGUAGUAGUCUUUUAAAGUUAUCCCUGUCUUAUGCAGCAUACACAAGGGAUUUUGUUUUCGUCAAGGAAUUUCGUCACCCAUUUCUGAUCUUACUCAGAGGCUGCUUCUUGAGGAGCGGGACCCCCCAGCAACACCCCAGGAGACCCUGUAUGAAGCACCUCCUUUUGAUGAGGUGAGAUUUCUAAAAUUUGAACCUUUUUCUGUAGAUGUUACAGAAGGUAAACAAAGAAUUAUCGUAUAGUCAGCAUGUCUUAUAUAAUUACACUGCUAACCAUGUCUUAUAUAAUUUUAUGUGUGGUUUGGAAAACCAGGUGGACAUACAAGCUCUUGCACAUGCUGUGGAGCUUACAAGACAAGGAGCAGUAGAUAGCUUGAGAUUUGCUAAGGGUGAUUUAUUUCAGGCGUUCCAGGUUAUUAAUUACCUUUUCAACGUUAUUUUCAUCACAGUUGCUUUAAGUUUGAAUAUAUGUUAUUACAUUUCACAAUUCAUAGGAGUUCGGUCAUUGGAUGCUUAUCCAUAACUCUUAUUUCUUGCAUGUUAGUGGUUCCCUGGAAAAAUAAACCUAAUGAUGCUACUGUAAAUCAUUUAUGAGGUUCUUUGAAUUAUAUAUGGUUGGCUCAAUAUUUUGACUUUACUGAUAUUAAUUAUUGUUCUUAAUACUUAUCUACUGCAGAAUGAAUUAUGUAGAAUGAGGUUUGAUGUUACCAUGCUUGAUGAGCUUGUUCGCGAGUACUGUGUUUACAGGGGCAUUGUGGAUUCUGGUCUUCCAUCUUCUUCAGGUGAUAAUUCAACUUUUUCAUUUCAUUAUUUUUUUAAUGUUUCAUAGACGUGUGUGUGUGUGUGUGUGUGUGUGUGUGUGUGUGUGUUUUUCCUUCUUCUUAAUUUCUGGUUCCCCUACUGAUCUACCUCCCAACGACAGCAGCUGGAAUACAAAGCCCUUCCAAAUCUUUGAAAGUUGAUCAACCAGGGAUUGGGUUUUGUUUGUCAAGAGGCAGUUCCCAUGAGGUAGAUUCUGGUGCCGGCAAACAUUCUGAUGGUGAAAUUUCCAUCAGUACUAAUGAUAACCUAGGUGGUUCCCCUGGAAAGAAUUCUGAAGUGACUAGCAUGCAAGGAGUAGAUGUUGAAUUACGUUAUGCUUUUGAGUCAACAAACAACCAUGAAGAUUGUAGCACCAGUGGAUCACAUCAGUCUGAUAAUCUCAGAGUUCCACAAAGAAGCAAAGCCAAUGUAACUGCAGAAAGAAGUAAACGCAAGCGAUGGAGGGGAAGACAAGAUGAUAUUUGUUUUACUACUGGCGUUUCCUAUAAUGAAACAAGUAAAGAGCUUAGCACGACGGCCGUGGUUUCCAAUAUGUGUUCAUCAAGGGAACAGCAGGUUUUGUUUUGUUGUAAUUACUUAUAUGUUGUAGUGGUAGUACCAGUGAUGUUAUUGGUUGUUAGUUGACAAGAGUGUUGUUCUGCAGGCUUCAGAAUGUUUAAGUUUAGACAUUAACAAUGUGGAGGAUAAAUAUGAGAUUGUGCUUGGGAUGAAGGAACUAACUAGCAAAGGGAUGGCUGCGGAGGUUGUGGAAGAAGUUAAUGCUAUGGACCCAAACUUUUUUGUACAAAAUCCCACUUUGCUGUUCCAACUUAAGCAGGUACUUUGAGCAUGUAUUUUCAGUAGCUUCAUUGAAGUAAAUGGUUUUUAUUAAGAUUUUAUGAUACAAAACUACUGUCUAAUCUUUUUACCAACCUGUAGGUUGAAUUCCUUAAGCUUGUUACCUCCGGUGAUCAUUCUAGUGCUCUGAGGGUUGCUUGCUCUCAUUUAGGUCCAUUAGCUGCUAGCGAUCAAGCUUUACUGAAGCCCUUGAAGGAGACUUUGUUAGCACUGCUCCAACCUAAUGAAGAUGCACUUGGAAAAGGCUUGCCCUUACAUGCUCUUGCAACUUCACUACAGGUAUCCCAUGACUAAUUGUCAUAAUUCAGUUAAUAGGAAUGCUCAUGCAAUUUAUUUCAUUAAUUGAUUCAGUUCUUAGUUUGUACUGCGUUCUUUAAGGUUGCAGUUGGUACUCAAUGCACAACUCUUUUCUGCUAGGGUUUUAGGAUAACUACCAUCAAAUCAUUUUUCCAUCUGGACACAGUUCUUAAAUGUAAUAUAUAUUAUUUACAUUGCACCAUGCCAUAAGUAAGAAUUAAUCAAUUGCUUCUGUGUCGGAUAGGUUGCAAUUGGUAGGAGGCUUGGCAUUGACGAACCCCAGCUUAUGAAAAUAAUGAGAGCUACCCUUCACACACAUAAUGAAUGGUUUAAACUUCAAAUGUGUAAAGAUCACUUUGAAAAUCUAUUGAAGAUUGAUUCCUUAAAAGAUGUUACUACUCCUUCGCUCGCUGCUGCUGCAAUUUCAAAGUCAAAUGCAGAUAGUUGCUCUAACGGGUCUUCCCAAGUUACAGUAUCUUCAAGCACCAGGAUGGUGGAAGAUGGGAGCAGUCUGACUCAAGUUUCAUCUAGAGAUGUUGUGUGUGAUGAAAAUGCAAUACUGAAAGUAAUGGUAAGUUAUGAACUUAAGUUACAUCUUUCUGUACAUUGCCUUGCCUUUUGAGUGGUGGUUUUUUGGUUUUGAGGAACUUUUUAGUUUUACCUCCAUAGGCUUACCAAAGAUUGGCAUCUUCAUAGAUUAUUCCUAUCCAUUGUGCAUCAUUUGUCAUUCCCAUUCCUGGUCUUUCCUUGCGACAUAAGAUUACUUGAUUAUCAAUACAUUCCCCAACCAAAAGGGUUCCCCUAUGUCAACAAGAAAUGUUAAUCCAGAUCUUUGUAUGGUUAUCCCAUCUUCUAAAUUCUAACACAUGUUUGUUCCGUACAACUAAUUAUACUAUUUUGGACGAUUGCAGGAGUUUCUAGCCUUGCCCAGGGCUGAUGCCAUCCAUCUUCUUGCACAGUACAAUGGAAACGCUGAGACAGUCAUUCAGCAAAUAUUUGCAUAGUUUGAAUUGUAGCGGUUUUGCAGCUAUCCUAUGUACGAUUAAUUUUUCCCUAUUAUUUGAUUCAAUUUGUGCAUAAGAGUUUCCCAUGUAGAUAGACAUACACGUAGUUACAAAGAGAGGUACAGUAUUAUGUCUUGUAAACACUUACACUGGCUGUUCUUGGUAUAUUAUCAUGUAUGGGGAUUCUGUCAGCCAUUAAUAAAACACUGUUGGUUGAUAAAAAGAGGAAGAAAGCAUUGAUGGAUUGGUUUUGUGGUUUUAUAUUGUUUGUUAGCAUUGAGUAGGUCCAAUUUGCCUUAGGUGUGUGGGUUUUUGGAGUUCUCCAUUGCCUUGAUUCUAAAUGACAAUGCAUGAAAAUUGCAAAAACCCUAUAUGUGAAGCAUCAAAUAAGUCACUAUUGGGUAUGAAAAUGGAAUUGAGUUUUUUUCUUUUGCCUUCUAGAAAAAGAUAAUUAUUUAAAUUUCAUUAAUAAAAAGAACCUAAAUACAAUCAAACGUUGUAACCGGCAAAAAGAAUAAUAAUAAAAAUAUACAAUCAGCGUCCAUCCAGCUCCAAGACACAAUUAGGAGCCCCAUACCCUUUGCUUAUGCAGUAGAGGCUGCUGUGGAUUAUUAUGCUAACUUUCCAAAUAAUUUUCAGAAAAUAUAUUUCCAAAUUCAACGACUUGCAUUGCCAUUGCUAGCUAGAGCCUUGAAGGAGAUACAAGCAAGCAGCGCACUUACAACACAACUCAUUACUUUAUGUCAGAUUUUGGUGAUUUUGACUCCCGGAGCUUCUUUUCGUCCGAAAGUAAUUUUGCAAACCUACAAUGCAAUACAAGCAUUUUCUUGGUCAACAAGCAUUAACACAAUCAAUGAUGAUGAUGAGGAGUCGUUGACUAAUUCUAAUUCAAGAAAAAAUGUUGAUUCUGCAUCUGCAGCAUAACCAUCUGAUAAGGGUUACCUUUGAAGUGCUUGCUGAUUGGUGCCACCAUUUUCAACUGGUUCGUAGAGACCCGUAUCCAAAUCCAUGGUUGAAAUUGGUUUCUGGAGCAAUGUAUUCCCAACUUCCACUAGAUUUUCCAAGUUCUCCUUGGUAGCUUUAUCAGCUGAAGCUAGAUUUCCCUCUAGCGUGUCCUCCUGGUUUCUCAAUAUUCAAUAGAAUAUAUUUUUGUAAAUUAACGAACAUAUAAAUUAUAAUAUAAAUAUAUUAUAUUCAAACUCAGUUACCUCAAUUCUGAGGUAGUUCUGUUCAGAAUGGAGGGCUUGGAAAACCACAGAGUUGUGGUAGUCAACCAUACAAGCACCUGCUUCAUCAAAGCAUUCCAAUAAAGGACUUGACCCAUCCUCGUAUAACCACCCUAUAACACCCCAUUUGGAAACCUUCUUAGCAUUGUACCUCAGCUCACUUCUGUUUGAGCCUGUCCCAAACGAAACCAACAAAAGACGAUCGUAUAACUCCAUGGGCUUAAUCUCCAUGAAAUCUGGAUUUUGCUUCUCAGUUUGUUUUAUCACUUCACUAAUGGCAACCGAAGCCUGAAACCAUAUUAGAUUUAGCAACAGUGAAAUUAAGUCAGUCAUGCCACACCCUCCAAAUUGCAUACAAAACACUGCGUCACAGUCUGAGAAAUGCUAACUGGACUUGCUUAAAAGAAAGUGCGGCUGUAAACUUUCUUAUAAGCAAGUCUCUUUAGCAUUUCCCGUCACUCUUACUGUAUAUGGUAUACUGAACUCUAAAAUCUAUUAAAAAAAAUUCAUGCGUAAUUAAGAGCAUCACCGGAUUAUUAGCGGCCACGCCACCAUCGAUGAGGUUGAACUCUUUUGGUUCCCCUUGUUGAUCAUUGUUUUCAAAAUAGUGGGCAGGGAGCAAAGUUGGUGCUGCUGAGGUACCAAUGCAAAUGUCUGAAAGUUUAGCAUUCAACACUGGACGGCUUGUCACCUUGAUCAUGACAAAAAUACUUAGAACUUCGCUUAAUUAUCAAUCAAAUUCCAAAUGAAAUUACUGAUUUCUCAUAAUUGGUAAUUAGUAAUUAAUAUACUGAAUAAACAACCUGAUAAGAGGAAAAUAUGACAGGCAGAAGUUUCUUGACGUCAAACGUUGGAAUAACCACGUUUGUCAAGGUUUGGUCCAACCUUUUGUCCCCUACUAUAUUUCUUAUUAGCUUGUGCAAAUACUUUCCAUCAUACUUGGGUCCUGUUAGAACUUUAACUAGAUCUACAACUGCGGCACACAAUCCGCUGUAUAAUCAUGAGUAACCGAAAGAGCGUUAGUUACCAGUUUAGUGAUACUUUUCUUCAUGUUGUUUGAAGAGAUCCGAGUUCGAAUCUUUCUUCUUUGACAUAAAUACGACAAAAUUAUAUAUCGAUGCAUCUAAUUACAAUUUUCAUAUUAGUGUUUCAAUAAUAUUACCUUGAUUGUGGGAAAAUUUUUGGACAGUUGUCAAGGUAAAAUGGGACAAUAUCUUUGGCAGCGUAUAAUGGUCUAUUGUUGUCAUUAGGUGCUGCUAGCAUAGUCGCAAUUAGACCACCUGUGCUUGUCCCAGAAAUAACGUCAAAGUAAUCUGCAAGCCUUGCAUCUUCACCAUCUAGUUCCUAAUUAGUUAAUACCACCUAUUUAAUAAUGUAAUUAUGUAAAGCUUAUUAUAAAUCAAAAACAAAAAGUGUUACCAAGCGAGCCCUUACCUGAAGUUGAGAUUCAAGGUAAGCAAGAAGAACACCGGGGAUGAUUCCUCUAAUUCCUCCUCCAUCUAUACUGAGAACUGUUAUGAGGUUGCCAUAUUUUGGAGGCUGAAGGACAUUUAGAGAUGAGCUUAUAUUUUCCAUCUGUUGUGACAAGCUUGUGGAUGUGGUGAUCGAUAUAAUAUGUGAACCUAUAUAGGUAAACAAUCGAAAAUGACACACUGUGGCUUGGACUUGGAGGCAUUGGGUUUUGCGUGCUUAUACCAUGCCUUCAAUACUCCUUAUUUUAUAGCCAUUUGUUCAUACUUCAAUAUCAAUCCAAUUUAAUAAAACCUAGGCAGUUUUUUUGGUCAAGAAUAAAACCUAGAGGUAGUGUUUUCAAGAACAUGUGUUGGUUUAACUAAAGGAGUAUAAGAUAAGGUCAAUAAAAAUGAUUGGACUUAACUGAUGGUCUCCCAAUAUGAAGUACCUUAUUGCUAUUCAAAUCUUGAAAUAGGUUAAAUUCUAGUCUUACUAAUGUCACACGAAAUUCCAAAAAAUAUACGUUUGUUUACGUGACCAAUUAAAUCAAAAUAAAAUAACCUUUGUGGGUUUAUUUAUUUAUUUAUUUUUUCCUUGUUCAAAGAAUAGGAAGAACAAAUCCACAAGGAACACAAUUAAAUUAACAAAUUAUUAUAUUUUGCAAAGAUUAAAUCCAAGAAACUUUGACAUUUGGGUGGCAAUGCUGGUGAGCGGGUCCAGUCAGUUCAAGUAAUGUGGUACUAAUUAUUUGCACUUUCUUUUAGAGUUUGUUUGUGAGUGAUUUUGAAUAAGCAUAUGGGCUUCUUUAUAUCAUUUUAAGUGAUUUUAAGUAAUUCUGAGAAGAAACACAUCUCAUGUGCUUUUUCAUAAAAUCAUUUAAAGUGAUUAUACGAAGAAGUGAUUCUUCAUAGUGCUUGAUCUAUCCAGAAUUACUCUCAAACAAACCCUUGAUCUUUUGGUUACAUACAUACAUGCAUAGAUAUAUGUAUAUAUAAUUAAUAUAAUUUUAAGAAAGUCAUAUCAUAUCUUUCUCUCUUCAAGUUUGGGGUGCGGGUAUUGAGUAUAUAUAUAUACGAAAAGUCUAAGCGCGUGCUUUAAAUGUAAAUAUUUAAGAUUAUCCAGGGUUUAGUAAACCAAGUCAUGACUCAUUGCUCUUGCAAGAUUAUUUAAUAAAUAUUCAUCUUUGUUGUUCAUAAAUAUUAAGGUUAAUAAUUUAUAGCAACUAGGUAGCAAUAAAAAUGAAAACCCACACGAAAUCUGAGGUAGGUAAAGGUAAUGAGCUAAUUCCACAAGAAAAGAUAACGGAUCCGAGGCUUUAUAUUUAGAUAUUGUACAUUUAUUUGUAUUUCGUAAGAUUAUCUUAACGAUUUAACUAUUUAAGACAUAACACAUAGUAUUUAAAUAAACUUUAAAAAAAAAAUCUCUAAUAACUUAAUUCAAUUUAAAAUUUAAAAAAAAAAAUUCAAGAUUAAAAAAGAAGACAUGCAACUCUCCCUCCCCACCCUUAUCCCCGCCAUCCAUACCCAACUCAAAGCCGCCCUGGCCACCACCAUCUCUCUCUCCCUCUCACACACAGAUUGACCCCCACAACCAUGAAAUAAGCAGGGUGUGAAUACAAAUCCAAAUACAAAUCAAAGUGGUUCUCCAAAUUGUAGAAUUUGGAGGAUAUAGUUUUUGGUCAAUUGAGUAUAUUGAGAAGGGGCAGUGAGUGGAGAGGUUUAUUCAAUGGAUAUAUGCAAUUCCAAUUUGAUAUUCCAUAUAACACUCUUUCAUGUACUUUCAAAAUCAUAAUCUGAGUGGAUCAAUACCCAAGCUCCUUUUCCUUCCCCCACUUGAGCCCAGAUUCCCCUUCCCCGCCCCAACUCCUCCUAGCCCACUUACCCUCAACUUUCGAGGAUUUUUAACUUUAUUUUUUUUACUUAAACAAUAAUAAUUUUAAACAAUUUUCUGAUGAAAAAACUAAUUUUUAAUACAUAAGUUGUUGAUGUGGCAUGUCUUAAAUGGUUAGAUCAUUAAAAUUGUCUAAAUAUUAGACAAUACGGUCAAAUGCACAACAUCUAAAUGCAAGUCUCGUGACCAUCAAGUGACCCUCAUGAAACUGAUAAAACAACUUCUCUGAUGAAGCAAAUAAAGAAGAAAAGAAGAAAAGAAUGAAAGCUUUACUGGUCAGAAGCCCAUUGGACCUCGAAUAUGAAUAUGUUAGACUUGUUUUGAUACACCUUCCGGCAUGGAAUGCAAUGCAUCUGACAUGAAAUUCAUUGAAAUUUUUGGUGCCACAUUCUAAAGCAGUGAGUGCCAAGCGGGUAAUUAUGGGCUGUGCCUAGUGUCCUUUCUUUUUUUGGUCAGAGACGCAGUGUCCAGGUUUUGUCUUGAAGCUCAAGCAGCGGUACCACUGGUACUGGGUUUUGAAGCAGCUGUUUUCCAUUGUUACAACUUGUAUAUCACAAAGAUUUGGACUCACAUGUUUCGGCAGUCCUCGCUUUAAUUCUCUGUGCUUUUGUCUGCAAACUAAAGCCCCAGGUGGAGGAGAGUUUUACUGUGUCCGGCUGUAGCAUACGACAACACACUUAACACGAUAAAAUCAAUGUGGGAUUGAGUUGAAUUAAAAUACAUGAAAUUUUGAUGUGUUAUGUGUUUCUAACUUUUCUAUGGGUGACCUGUUCCCACAGUUGGAUUCAAAAAUUUCUCCGAAUAGAGGUGAUGAUAAGUAAGUUAUGAUUAAUAGUUGUGACAUGACGAUUUAAAAAGACAUAUCACAAGUUAUAUAUUAUUUUGUUGUCACUAAUAUAUGUAAGGAUUUUAUCAAGAAUAUCGAGUUUUAACCGUUGAUGCAUGUACGGAUAAUGACUGAGACAAUCGACCAUCUUUGGAUUUCAAAUAUCAUAUUCUUCCUUGUUUGGCAAAUAGCAAUGACCUAGUUUCCAUAUGAUACCAGUGCCCUUAACUUAUUAUGUUGUCCCCAUUACAAUGAUAGAGGGUUGUUUAAAGUGCAAGCAAUGAAUAGCUCCUGUGGGACAAUGAGGUAUACUCAUAGUUUCUUCAACCGUAAUAUGAUAAUAAUAUAUAUACUACAAGCAAAGUUAUAUAUAUAAUAUAUAGUGUAAUACUGAGCAAAGUAGGUUGUCACAAAACUAUUUAGAGUGGGCUUCACGUUUUCCUUCAUAUGAUAUCCAUGUCUUAUAUAUAUAUAGUUUUUUUUUAUUGAGGAAUUUUUUAAAUAAGUUUAUUUGAGGGAAGUUCUUUAGGGUACUCUAUAAUUUUUUUUUCAAUGAUCCAAACCAUCUAUUUUGUAGGUCUUCAUUCAUAGAUCAUUCUUACAAAAAAUUAGACAAAUGGGAAACCUUUUCAACAUCCAAUUGUGUCCUACCAAAUCAAUGAACACGGUACUUCAAGAAAGUACUAAAAUUUCAAUAACUCAAUUGAAUGGUCAAAUGAUAUCGGAUUCAAGUAAUUUUUUCUAUAAAUGAUCUUUGAAUGAGUAUCUACAAAAUAGACGGUUUGGAUUAGUGAAAUACAAUCCGGAGUGGAUCCUAUAAGAGGUGUCCUUCAAUGGAAACUCUUUUUGUAUUAUAUAUAUAUAUAUAUAUAUAUAUUUUUUUUUUUUUUUCUUAUACAAAAUUAUUUUAAUCUCUAAAUGUAACCCAUUUCGAAAUUUGAAAGAAACUUCAACUUUAAAGAAAAGUUGACACUUGACUCACACACACACACAGAGAAUUUGGGUACUUGAAAUGAAACACUUGGCAGUUGGGUUCAAGUGGGGCUGGAAAAUCAUGUGAUUGCUUGCAUUGAUGGAUUUUCUGAAAUAGGAUUAAUUAUAGAGUAGCUGCUGCUUUCUUCUUCUUCCCAGCACAUCAUGAAAUGGAUUUUCCAAAUUAAUCGGUCAUUAGUUCACAUAAAUGCUAGUCUAUGUAUACGACUUUGACGUCUUCUACCUCUUGAAAUAAAAGAUUGAACUGGUAAAUGCCUGAAACAGAAAACUUCCUUCCUUGAUUACCAAAAUCAAAACUCGUGUUUGGAAUCUUAAUUAUAGCUUUUUAAUAUUGGAAGCAAUGAACGUUUCUAGACCUAAUCAUUUUCAAGUUUGACAAUGCGAAAAAGUGCUUUAACUGCAUUUAACUUUUUUGAGGUAAACAGAAAAAGUCCCCUCUUUUUUUUCAAAUAUUUUAAAGGAUGAUUUGAAAUUCAUGAUAGCAUAGUUUUGUAAUCAAGGGAAUGCCUAAGAUUAGAAUGCUAUAAAUGCAGGUGCAUCAAUUUGAUAGCUAGCUAUCUUAUCUGAGGAUUGUACUUUGGUCUGUUGGUGAAAAUCAACAUCACUCUAUCACAAUUCACGAUUGGAAAAUACUUCCAUUCUUUUCCUGUGAGUAGGAGCUCAUACAUUUUUGUCAAUAACAGUGUAACAUAUGUGCAGAAGAGAGAGGUAUUUCCUUAUAAGAAAGGAGGUAGGCAGUAUAAAAAUUAAAAGGGUUUGAGGCAAUGGCGGAUCUAGGAAGGGGCUCGACUGGGCUUUAGUCCAGUGUUGGUUUUGUAGUUUAGUCUUAAUUGUACAACAAAAUCCAUUGCAAUUAAAUAUUAACCCACUUAUCUUUUAGAAUUCAGUUUAUCCUAGCCACCUGCAUUAGAUUUUUUUUCUUCUACCCACUGAAAUCCUACCAUAUUUUCUAUAUAUAAAAAUAUAUAAUCUUACCAUACAAUAUUAAUUAGCUCAAAAAUUCUUGGUUAUAAAAGAUCUCCCAAAAAAUAAAUAAUUUAGCCCAACUCUAGAAAUUUUUUUGAAUCCGCCAUUAGUUUGAGGGUCAUCACUCCAUCUCUAUCUCGUUUAUGCUUGGGUUUGUUUUUUUUUUUUAAUGGGGUCUCUCCUUAAAACGCUCCAAAAGUUGUCCUGUUCUAUUAGCAUAGAGUUUGAGUCUCUGUUUUCUUGUGGAAGGGUUUAUACUUCCAGCUAUUAAGCUAUAUGUGGAAGGGGUAGGUUUUCCAACCACCUUUGUUUAAUCCAAAAUCCGUCUUAAUUUAGAGAAGAGCUAUGUAAGUAGGUUUAGAAGUCCUUAACCCACUUUACUAUUUCCUAAAUUACAAGAAGCAUAGUGUUGUAGAAAUACAUUUGUUAGGAAUCCUUAUUAGACUUUAAUUUUAGCACAAGGUACCAAUAAAACGUGGUUGAAGAGUCACAAUUAAAUUAAACAAUAGUCUAAUCUCAAAUGCGCACCAACCAUAGAACUCUAAUCAUUCAACUUAAUAUAAUUCUCAUUUACUCUAAAAUAAUAAUUCGGCCCAAUCAAUCUGAAAUAAUAAUUCAUUCCAAUGUAGUGUACGAUUCGAAGUCGGUUCAACUUUAAUAUUAAAGAUCUUAAGCCACUUAAGAAAAAUCAAAAUUUAGAAUUGGGAAUCGGUAGCUUAAUUCUUGUUUAGGAAGCAUAUUACUUAAAUAAGUUCCACAAUUCCCACACAUCUACUUUAUUUAUAUAUAAAAAAAAGUUGGUAAAUAACAACUUAUAUUAGUCGUGUGUAUAUAAUAUACAGGAAGCUUCAGUUGAGGGAUUCCUCAAAUAACUUAUUUGAGGGAUAUCCUUGUAGGGCCCAUUUUGUAUUGUAUUUUACUAAUCCAAAUCGUCUAUGUUUUAGAGAAUCAUUCAAAGAUCAUCUCUACAAAAAAUCACUUGGAUCCGAUAUCGUUUGACAGCUCAAUUGUGUUAUUGAAAUUUUAGUACUUUCUUGAAGCACUGUGUUUAUUAAUGUUGUAGGAUAUAAUUGGAUGUCGAAACGGUUUUCGAUUUGUUUAAUUUUUUGCAAGGAUGAUCUAUGAAUGUAGACUUAAAAAAUAUAUAGUUUGGAUCAUUGAAAAAAAUUUAUAGGGUACCUAAAAAGGUGUCCCUCAAAUAAUAUUAUUUGAGAAAUCCUUUAAUUUUAAUAGAAAGGGACAUAAAAUAAUUUAAGAAAAGGACUAUAUAUAGAUAUUCUUGUAAUUUAUAGAUUCUAUCGUAAUCAAACAAAAGUCAAAGUCUACAUAUUUCCUUCUCUUUUAUUAUCUUUUAUUAAUUUUUUGUUUCUGAUUUUCCUUUUUUUGGUCGGGAACUCUCUUCCCUCUUCAACGCCUCAAGUCAUUUGCCUUUGUUUUUUUUUUUUGGGUAAAGAAAGAAGUCUUUUGCUUUUGUUGGUAUGCAACUUGGACUUUUUAGAUUGCGCUAGGUUACGGCAUUUGGGGGGCGUAUGGCAAUUUGAUUAGAAUUUAGAAAAUGCUUAUAUAAAAAUGAAAAAUCUUAUUACCAAUAAACAAUCCCUCGGAGACCAACAAGAAGAAGAAGAGUUAGGCUUUGUUGUGCUGUGUGUUGCAGCGUUUCCCACUUGGCCUUUCAAUUUUUUUCAUGGCCCUGUUUCCCAAAAGACCAAAAAAAAGCUCCAAAACCCAGACGCUUCUUUAUUUGGCUUCCUUUUUCUCUGUAGCUGUCUCUCUCAUCUCUCUUUGAGGAACUAGCUAAGGAUACUCGAAGGGUGGUAUGAACAGUACUCUCUGAGCUCUGCUUGGUGGUCGGUCUUUGUUUGAUUUCUCUCUGGUUCUGGUAAAACAAUGGCUGAAGACAUCUGUUUCUUCAACAAGGUGCUGCCUUUACUCCCUCCUUUUCGUUAUUUUCUGCUUUUAAUUCUCAAGUUUACUUUCUGUUUGAAAUGAAGUAGUGGGUUAUGCUCAAAAUGCUGUUUUUAUACAUAAAUUUUGUUUAUUCAAAUAAAAUAUUGGUAAGAGAUGUAUUCUGGUAGUCUUGAAGCAUAUGUGGGCGUCUUCUUUUUGUUUUUCCAGUUUCUUUUUCCUUAAUCACGUGUAAAAGGUGUUAUCUUCAAGGCUGUUCCUUCAGCUUUGUGGGUGAAAGACAAAUGUAUAUGGAUUUGAAGGAGAAUGUUUGGUGCUGGCCGCUCCUCUGGAUGUUCGAUCUGGGUUUUGAGACUUUAAUAGAAUUUAUCUGUAACCAAGUUUAUUAUGCUGUUAAUAUUACCGCUGAAAAGGACACUUACAUUUGUAUUCUUCGAACUGGGUUAGUAGUAGAACUAGUAUUUAGUGGUUCUAUGGAUUGUUAUACUUGAUUAUUGUUGUGAGUGUUACUUAGAGAGCAUAUAUUACAUUUGUGCAUACCCAUUACAACUUUUUCAUCAACUCUCCUUAUCAAGAUUUUCAUUUAACUCCCCCUUUCCCCAUUUUGGUUCACAGGAAACUCUGAUCAUAAAGCCUCCUAAGAAAUCUCCUUUGUUAUUGAGGAUGACAGUCCUAGUAUUUGCAAUGGUCUUUGGCGUUUAUAUCUGCUCAAUAUGUCUAAAGCAGUUAAGUAUCCAAACCAUGACUAGAUUUCAAAGCAUCAAAGUCAUUGCAAGGCCUUGCCACGACACCAAACUACUAGAAAUUCCUUAUAAGCAUUACCCAAUGCCUGAAACUUUUAGCAGGUAAUUGAGAAUUUGCACUUUUCAAAUUUGAAUUUGGGCAUUUUCAGCUUUGUUUGUUUUUGUUUCUUUGGAUAAGAGCAUCUUCAGCUUUGUUAAAUCUCUGUUUUGGUCUAUUUCUAGGGCUGAAUGUGCACGUAAUCCUGUAAGAUUCUUUGCAAUCUUGUCGAUGCAGAGAUCAGGGAGUGGGUGGUUUGAAAGCCUGUUGAAUAGUCAUAAAAACGUUAGUUCUAAUGGAGAGAUAUUCUCCGUUAGGUCUAGGAGGGAAAACAUAUCUUCAAUUGUACAGACUCUGGAUAAAGUUUACAAUUUGGACUGGUUCAGUAGUGCUUCGAAGAAUGAGUGCUCUGCAGCAACUGGCUUCAAGUGGAUGCUUAAUCAGGUAUACAAUGUCUUUCUACUUCAGCCUAAUAAUGGUUAUCGAAUACAAAGUCUUCUGCUCAGUGAUUAGCGGAAAGCUUAUCCUUUUAGUGACAACUAGUAGGAAAUGUAAAACAAUGCGAACCAUAUUACUGUUUAAGAGGUUGUACUAAUAAGGUCUUGGAAACUUAGAUCAUGAUUGGUCCAAAGCAUCAGAACAAUCAAUAUGGUAUUCCCAUGCCAUGGUCCAGUAAAUUGUCAACUUUCUAACAGAUUCUGUUUAAUUAAUUACUUUUUAUAUAUGAAGUUUUUGACGUGAUAACUUACCAAUAAUGAAUAAAUUUGUAUAUGAUGUGACAUGAGGGGUGGUUGGCCAUCUAAGAUUCUUAAAGGCAAUUGUUUUACUGCUUAAUCAGCCCAGUUAACUUCUCAUUUUACUCAGUUUUUCGAUUUAAUAUGUGUUAUGUCUCAUGAGUCAUGACGAGGAGGUAAACUGUUCCUUGUUUCAUGUUGGCCUUAUAUAUGUAUCAUAUAAAGCACCAAAUUGACUGAAGAGUGGCCAUAUUGGAAUCGCAAAGAUAUUAAAGGUUGCAAUCACCAAAUUGACUGGUCAUUCUUGUUUUUCUCCAAGGGGAGAUGGUGGAAGAGCUAACUUAUAGCUUUUGCAGGGGUUAAUGGAGCACCACAAAGAAGUUGUGCAAUACUUCAAUCGCAGGGGCGUCUCUGCAAUAUUUCUCUUUCGAAGAAACUUGUUGCGUAGAAUGGUUUCUGUUCUUGCUAAUUCUUAUGAUCGAUACGCUAAGCUAUUGAAUGGAACCCACAAGUCACAUGUACAUUCAGAAGAAGAGGUCUCUCUCUCGCUCUCUCUGAUUACCUCUCCCUCCACUCCCCACCACAACCACGUUUUCAUUAUCUUAAAUUUUAUCUGGUGACUUCUUGUAUAUGCAGGCUGAUACCCUGAAAAAGUACAAGCCUACUAUCAAUAGCACGAAGUUGAUUACUGAUCUUAAGGAAAUGGAGUUGACAACUUCAAAGGCUUUAGAGUACUUCAAUAGCACUAGGCACAUCGUUUUGUUCUACGAGGACAUUAACCGCACUGUAAGGAUCUAAGUAAAACCUUCAUGAAAUCUUUGAGUUAUCGUAUGUUCUUGUAAAUAUUUUCAUUAUUCACUUGGAGACUACUACCAUAAGACUUAUAAUUCUGCUACUAUUUUUGUGUACAUUUUCCUGGAAUUAUGCAUCUAAAGUAGUCAUUAUUUCUUCUUAUUCAGAAACUAAAAGAAGUUCAAGAGUUUCUUAGCCUUCCACAGAUGGAAUUAACCAGCCGUCAGGUAAAGAUACACAAUGGACCGUUGUCAGACCUUAUCAAGAACUGGGAUGAUGUGAAGAAGACGCUUAUAGGAACACCUUACGAAGAUUUUCUCCGCUCGGACUAUUAGGCGUAGUCCUCUGCUAACUCUUUGAUACUGGUGUACAUACCAACUCAAGUUAUUCUUACCCCAGAAGCUGACAGGAUAUUGCCCGUGCUUUAAAAUUUUUUGGCCGCAACAACACAGGCCUGGUGUUUUGAUCCUUCUUCAUUUUUUAUCUCAUCAACACUCCGUUGAUGUGUCUAUACACCUUUUUUCUUUUUGUUAACCAGACAGACACAUUGUAUAUGUCAGCUAAGCAAUGUGAGUGAAUAUGCAAUUCUUUAAUCUCUAUUUUGUUUUCUUGAUCACCCUUUAAUUUAUAUUUGUUUGGUGUUCUGUUUCUGUGUCAUGUUAUUAUUGUCGUUCAAUAUUAUCUGAGGAUAUACAUUGCAAUUUGCAUGCAGAUUCUUUAAUUUUGUUCUCCAUCUUCCACAAUAACCACUUGGGUAUACGAGUUCUUCCAUUUUCUCUAUGUUGCAUUUCUUGUUGGGGAAAAUACUUUUUAUGCUUUAGGAUUUAGCAGUGUCUGCAGAAAAUUUAUAGACAAGACAAUCUUUGCUCAUUGAGCUUCUUAUUUGUGCAUUUGGUAUUCACUCAUCAAAAACACAGGCAUAGUCUAUUUGAACACAAUUUUCCCUCCCUUUCUUUCUUGAAUGCGUAGCCAUCUACACACAUGUCCUUUUUCUGAUAUGUCAGACCCUUAAUCUAAUCCACAACAAAUAGCAUGUAUCUCUCCUUAGGUCUUGGGCCCUUGGAUUCCUAAUCAAGUGAGUAAUGGACCUCAAUUCAAUGGGUACUCAUAAUUUGUGUUUGCCUUUUGAUUCAAAUGUCCAAGUUGGAUUAUAAAAUGGCCUGUCGAAAUUAGACUCAUGAAUAACACUCUUCCCAGAUUCCUUUCCCUUAGUACCCAAACUUUGCAUUUGUAUAUAUAUGGUGACAUUUACGCACCGCAUAUUGCUGAUCACAUUUUUCAUAAUGGUGUGAUUUGCGAACGACUCACUAGCAUGAUGAGUCUCUCACCAGAUUAAAAAUGUACAUUUUUCGAGAAAUGCGGUAACAACUUUGUGAGAAAUGUGAUUAAUAUACUUGAAUAAUUUUUGCUUCAACAGACUCUUCAAUUCGAUUAACGCAUAAUCAUGGAAAAGAAUGAAAAAUAGUAAAACAUGUGAAAAAUGUCUAUGUAUUUAUUAUAUGAAAAGAAAAAAAAUACAUGUUUUCAACAUUUUCAAGGUAGGUUUUGUUUUUUGAAGAGCCAAAGUCAACUUAUCAGUCCUGAAGAAAGAGAAAGAUAUUGCAACUUUGAUGACUGAGGUUGAAGAGGCUGUUGGAGAGAGUUUUUCUGAUGUGGCUCACCUAUUUUAGAUUCCAAAGCUGUUGAAGAGGUUGUUGGAGAUGCUUUUACUACAUUCUUACCCCAUUAUAUUGGUGGGCUCCACCUCUAUUAAAGAGGUGGUACACAAUGUGGUAUAAAAAUGUGAUAACCCUAACAUUACCCAUAUACAAAUAGUAUUAGCUUACUAUUAGCUAUAUGUACAUAGACUCAAUAUGAGCUUGAUGCACUCCUGAAUCCAUCAUAUAAAAAUAAACAAGGAAUCCUUACCUUUUUAAGAGAUGCACGUAGUUAUCAAUGUACAUAGACUUAAUUAUGAGUUUGAUGCAUUGGAAAACCUACAUAAACUCACGCAAUCUAUAAUAAAACUAACCCUAAGAAUCUUUCUUAGUCUCAUAUUUGUUUAAUUUUCCCAAGACGUUGUAAUUCCACAAUGGACUCACAUUGGAGAGUAACUUAUCUUCAUUGGGAUGUCAUUGUGACAGUAUUUCAGGACAAUCACAUAUUAUCAUAUGUCUAACUUUUUUACAUAUCAAUGUGUGAUUGACUUGAAGUACUGUCACUAAGUCAUAAUUAACAUUAAAAAAACACCAGUGAAAGUAGCAUACCCGUGGAAUAUGCUAUAGCUAGCUAGAAGCCUAUAACUUAACUGAUCGUAUAGUACCAGUUGUCUCGUCUCUUGUGUGAAAAUGAGACAUGAGGCACAGCUGUACAGUUUGUGCAGAUAGUUCAUCAUGGUAGGCAUGCGAGGCAAGCUAUAUAGUGGCCUCUUGGAAGCCAUGUAGGGGCAACUUCUAUAUUUUAUCAACACAUGGGCCGACUGUAAAGCAAUAUUACAAACCACCAAGGUAAGAAAAACUUUUGGCAGUUGUGCAUGGUUAAAGCUAGCCGAUAAAACUUUCACGCCACAAAUGCCAAAUGGCUCUUGAGAUGAAUAAAAUAGUGGUUUGUGUUCAACAAUGUCAGGGUGUUUGGGUUGGAAAGCUGAACACGUCUGUCUGCCUGAAAGUCUUAACAUUUUGUGUGAACAAGAAGAAGGGUUGAAGAACAAAUAUAUAAAACAAGAGCAAAGAUAGGUAAAAAGUUUUUCAAAUUGAACAUGAAUGGUGGAGAAUGAGAGCAACUGGUCCUCCACAGAUCCAUGUUGCUUGACGUAUAUUAUAUUUCUUCAACUUGUUAUAAUAUGAUUUCAGAAGUAAUGCUUGCUUGUAGUACCCAUGAUGCUUUCGGGCUCAGUUUUCUAACUUUAAAUCAUCACAAGUUAGAAAAGAUUGGAUGGCUGUGAAAUGAGAUCUCACCACCGAUUUCUAUGGUUCUAUUGCAUUGUAUCAUACUUUAUGAUUUCCCAUCUCUCCCGUUGAUUAAAAAAACUAUAUAUAUAUAUAUAUAUAUAUAUAUAUAUAUAUAUAUAUACUUUAUGGUUAAAGAGAAGUAGAAAGGAGACAAGUUGCAUAUUAAUGAACGGUUUGCAUGGGACAUGCAAACUGUUGACAGGCCAUCCUACGACCCUAAUAGUGUAUAUUUAUGUCAGUUUGAUGUUUCCAUGAGUUUCUGGCGAGUAUGAAUUUUUCUGUAAGGGAGAGGAUUUGAAUUUGAGACCUUGUACGAUAUUAUAAGGAGAAGGAGAAGUACCUAAACUAAACGUUAGUUGAUGGCGGGCGGCUUAGGUGCCUAUUACUUUUUCAUUUUAUUUUGGAGAAAAAGGAGGGUGAAAGUCUAACUAUUGUCAUGAGUACAAGGUUAUGCACCACUGGAGGCAAAGAAAGAUUAUUCUGUGUGGUGACCCCUUUUCUAAAUUGAAAACAAUAUGAAACUUUUGUUCCUCACAUUCUGGAAAUCUACGUAUUGUUGUUUGCUUGAUGCUUGAUGUAUAUGUUAAGUUAGCCUGUAUUCUAAUUAUAUAUAUCAUGGCAGUUUUUAAAAUUAAUUAACACACUGUCAACAUAGUCUAGUCCAGUGAAAAAAGGGCAUUGACUUGUAGUGGUCUCAAAUUCGAAUCCCAUAAUACUUUGAUAGUGUGUAUGUGAGAAACUUCUCUCCUCCUUAUAUAAUUUAAACUAUCGUUUGUAUUACACAAAAUAAUAAUUAGCACACUACUUGAGAGAGAGAGAGAUACUUAUAUAUGACCAUCUUAAUUUUUGUACUAAUUUGAACUCAAAAGGUUCUCAGUAUCUCAUUGGUCGGGAGUUGAGCCUCAGCAGUGCCCUCCCCUCUAUAAAUACCCGCGCAGAGGGAAGUUUCUAAGCAAACUCGUAUGCUUACAGUUGACUUGAUUCAAUUUAAGCUUGCUCUAAUUGAACUAGCUAGUCUAGCACUUGCUUGCAAGAUUAGUUUGAUUCAAAACUCUACGGGAAACUUCUGUCCUAGUUACAUCAAUUCCAUCAUCUUUCUUUCACCUUUAGCUCUCCCUCCCCACGAUGGCUUUAAACAAGUUAACCUUCAUUUCUUGCUCUCUCCUUUCCCUACUGAUCAUCUUAACAUGGGAUAUUCAGCCUAUUGAUGCAAGGCCUUUGAAUUCAAGGAGUAAAAACGAACUCCGAAAUUUCCAAACACACACCAAAACCCACCAAAACAAGUUGGAGAACAAUGUAGAUCAUAUUAAUGACUUUCAUGGUAAGAACCCAACUGAAGCUUCAACAACUGUUGUGGCAUCUCCGCCUCCACCACAAGGUGGUCAGGUUGGUGGGGCAGCACAACAGCCACCUCCCGCACACGGCGUAGAAGACUUCAGGCCCACAGCUCCAGGUCACAGCCCCGGCGUUGGACAUUCCAUUGAGAACUAGGGCAUCUAUGCUAUCUAUCCCCCAUUAUAUAUCUAUGUGUGUUAAAGAUGCCCUAUAACUAUAUAUAUAUUUAUAUGUAUGUGUUCUUGCGUGUCUACCAUUUAUGAUCAGGUACUUGGCCAUUCAUCUAUAUAGCAAAAAGAAACGGCCUCUCUAGUGGAAAAUGGCCUUGACUUGCAGACUAGAGUCUCAGAUUCGAGCCCGCAUAGUAUCUUGGUUGUGUGUGUGAGAAACCCCUCAUUCCUCUAGUUUAGACUAUCGCUUGUACUUUCAAAACCAAAGGCCCUCCUGAAGUUUGUACAAAGAUUUGUAUUCAAAUGUAAUAUUAAGUGAUGAUUUAAUGUAAUUUGUAUUUAAUUGCUUGUUAAGUUCUCAAUGAAAUUUCUGGUUUAAUUUCAAACUUAUUCUCUUAUAUAUAUAUAUAUAUAUAUAUAUUAAUCUAAUCAAUAGACUAAUACAAAGAAAGUAGUAGAUUAUUUUACAAAGAUACCAUAUUCCAUACCCAAAGGUUUGGAGAUAGUAAGGAACAAUUGAGUGUCAGAGUUUAUAUUACUUCUAAGUAAAAAGCAUAUUGCGCAUGAUAUAUAUAGUUACUAGUACUACCAUGCACAUGCCUCUCAUUCUUUUCCAGAAGCACCCUUUAUAAAGACUCAGCCACUCAGAUAUUUGGUCCACGAUCAAUUGUGGUAGCAACGCUGACCCAUGAAAUUGUACAUGUUUCAAGAGGUUCUUGAUGAACUACAUGUUUCAAUAAUUAGCUAUUUUUCUUUGUAUUUUUUUUUUUUUUGUGUUUUGACCCUUUUGCAGUCCCGAACGUUUUUUAUGCAUCUCAAAUACUGAACGGGAGUGAUUCCAAGUAGUCUUGAAUUCAAACUCAUAUAGUACAUGUGUAUACUAUAAGUUUUUCUCCCUCUCUCUCUUUUUAAUUUUGGCAACAACAAAAAAAAAGAAAAAGGAAGCGAACGGAAGUAAUUAUACACAUGUACACUUUGUUGGUGUUCCCCAAUUCCGUUAUGAAGAGGUUAUUGUUGAGAUUAUGAAAUUUCACAUAGGUAUUCUAAAUCUCAUGAGUGACGUCAUAAUUAAUUAAAAAAAAUCUUGGUCCUCUAAUACUCUACCAAUUAGUUUAGCAUUAGAUCAGUACAUGUCAGGUUUAAUUUGGCUACAUGUUUUUAAUGUCACCUAAUAUUCAUAUACGUGUUGAGAAUGCAAAUUGUCGCAUCACUUAUACUAAGCCUAACAUUCCAAUUGUGACAGAAUGAGAUAGGAGCUCUAAUUAGGAAAGGUAUAUAUUGUGGAGCCGGAAACUUUUGUUAAAUGAUAGACGGAUUUAUUAGCCGAUUGGAAUUGUUUCUGUUUAUAAUUAAACUCAUUUUAGUAUGAUAUAUUAUACAAAAAUCUAUAUAGUGUUUAUUUGAAGAGAAAAACUCAAAAUUAGUCACUUGUCAUUUUCUAAUUGAUUUUUAGUAAAAUUUUGUAAGAACGAAUUAAAAAAUGACACCAUAAAUUAUGUUCAAGAGAGGGUUCUCUAAAGGGACUGAUCAAUCAGAUAACUAUUGUUUCACACGAACAUUAGAAAGUUGUUAAGGUUCAGUUUAAAUAAUUAAAAUGGAUCAUAGUAAUCAUAUGUGGUAAUUGAUACGUAAAAUAAAAACAAUCAACCUCAAUACGGUGAAUAGGGAAAACAAUUUAAUUGAUUUGCUUAUAAUGGAUAGAGGUUGGAUGUGGAAUUUACAUUUUCUCAACACGCCAUGAGGCGUCGAAUGUGACCAUUAUUAUAGGCUUCAAACAUGAAUUGUCUUAUCUAAUAUCAUGUUCAAAAUUAGAAUAUCCAACUCAAAAUUAAUAAACAAUAUAAGUGAAGAAAGUCGAUACUAUAUAUUGUGAUAUGAAAAACUCAACAUUCCCCAUUUAGUUAAGAUUUAUUUUCUCAUCAUGUGGUGAUGGCCAUGAAUGUGGUGGAAGGCAAAGAAAAACAACUCAACACACACCCUCUGGUUUUCUCAUCGUCAUGGUGCAUUGAUUUGUUCUUCAAUUCGAUACACAAACUUUCAAGUUCCAUGGCGGAAAACCUCCAAGCAUAUAUACUAUGGUAAGAACCCCUACAAAAAUAUAUAAUUGUUCUUCACUUUUCAUAUAAGUUAACAAACAAUAUAAUUGAUCUCUUUCGUUUCCAGAAUUAUUCCUUCUAAUGUGACCGCAUAUUCCUUGUAAAGUAAUCCAGAGAGGUUGCAUGCUUGAUGGUUUCAAAUGGGCGCCGAAACAUUUUGUCUUAGCAAGCAAUUAAUAAAGUUUCAUUUAAUUAUUUGAUUAAUUACAUGCAUGUGAUGUGAGGGUUCACUGACCUACUACUUACUAACAAAAGAUAUCCUUCUCUUAAACAAUACAAUUAAUAAAAAAAUAUUCGUGCAACACAGCUAGGCUAGGACAACAGACAUACUCUAUAUCAAUCAAGUGCGGUUUGAUCUGUGCUAUAUUUAGUACAAUUUAAUAGUCUUGCUACUCAGUGGUAGAGGAAGGCAGAGAGAGAGAGAGAGAGAGAGAGAGAGAGAGAGAGAGAGGCUUUCCACAGAGCGAGGAACGAAUCCCAGCUAAAGCCCCUUUACAACAAGAUUCUCCAUUUUCAUUAUUUCCAUUCCUAAUUCCUAAAUGGAGGCGGGGGUGGAGGCAAUGAGGCAUGGCUUUUUGGAGCUCUCCUCUCAUCAUUUGCUUGAUUUUUGACCCUAUUACACUAAAAGGCAAUUAAAUGACUUGUUUUUGGACAAACUAAAGUGGUCUGGACCCUCCACGGCUUUGGGGUUCAGCAUUUACCUAGUGCUUUCGGCUUGACUUUUUUGGAUUCUUUCUUUGACCAUCUGUCUUCUUAACUUUAUUUUCAUGCCGACUAAUUAGUUGUAAAUGGGAUUUAAAUAAAAUCAAAAUCGACUGCCAUCAUAUAGGUGUCGAAUCGAUCUUGGAAUUUCUGUCCUCAGACAACCAUUGGUUGACGUUAAUACAUUUUGUUUUGGCCGGAUGCAAUCGAAGGACAAAAUUCAAAACCAACCCAUGAAAGAUCAUAAAACAACAUUCAUUCAUAUAUAGAAUCGGAAGGCAACUUUGCCACUAGUUAUGCAAUUUCAAAAGAUGGGAUGUAUAUAUGAUGCCCCAUUUGAACUUUCAAGUUUCAACCAUAUAUAACCAAUUUGGUUUAUGCUUGCACAUAACAAAGGUUGAAUUUUGCUCGUGUAAUGCAAUUGGUUGAUUGUUUGUUUAAAUUAUGUAAAACAUUUUAUGUCCUUAACACAUUCACAUUAUCACACAAAGUAUUGUAACUACACAUAUUCUGAAGUAGAAUGGUCGUAUAUGCAAUCUCUCUCUUUCUCUCUCACAUCUACCUAUUGUGAUGGGCAAUGGGUUCCACCACUACUUAAUAGGUACUCAUUUGCACCAAUGGUUACCCAUUGCCCAUCCCUACUGCUGCUCCACUAUAAAGACUUUCUCAAGUAGAAAGUUAUACAAGUUCGAAUAUCUCAUUCUUCAACAUUGUAAUUAAUAAAAAAUUGAGCAAAAUAUACAUGGUAUAAUUUUCAACGACUCAAGUCAAACCUAAUAAGAAAUUAUCAUAAGUACCAUAAUGAAAUUCCUAAGAAAUCAUAUUCGAUUAAAGAAGAUAACACCCAAUACAUGUUAAAUACGUUGCAAGGUUUUGAAGGAAAUGUGAUUUGGGACGAAAGAACCCCUUGAAAAGAAUCUGAUAAUCGAUUUAAGCAAACUCCCGGAAGUCAAACUUAUAUAAUAAUACCAGUUAAAGUUCCACACAGAAUCAUAGGCCGCAGUCAAAUGGUGCUUAUAAAAAAAUGAAAACUCAAAGAGAAAAGUUCGUAUCAAUGUAUGAUUAGUUAAGACCAGUUCAGUUUGGUCAAAUUUCGGCUCUUUUAUAAACCAUCCAUUGCUAACCAAAAACAGCUUUCUGAGUUAGUGCUCAGAAAUUAUUUGUUUAAAUGCACGAGUGCAACAGAUUGUAGUGCUUUCAGUCACAAUUACGCGCAUGGGGUACUAUUAUUUUUGUGUGUUAUAUAUUUAGAUUCGCAGCUUGAAAUGAUUGCUCAAAAUUCAUGCAUGGAAGAAAAAAAAAAAAAUUUCAACUGCGAAAUGAUAAUCUGAAGACCUGUGCCUGCUGCUGUCGAGACUUGUUCUGCUGCUAAGGCUGUGUAAUCUUGAAGGAAAAAAAAAAACCAAAUGAAUUCUGAUAUUGCUUAAAUAAAGUAAAUUUAUUUAUGGUUAUAUAUACAUGAUGAUAAUAUAUCUCUCAAAGAAUCCAUUUGAAAGUUUUCACAAACCAUAAACAAAACAAAAAAAUUUCAAACCUGAUUAGUGUAACGACAGAUGUGCUUAAUUCAGUUGAAUGCCCGACAGAGUUUCUAAUGAAGGUUGUACCAUAGCUAGCCAUCCACAUAUAUAUAAUACUAUACAGAACAAGUGGGAUGGUACACAAGAAUCUCAAUCUCUUGGUGCAUUUCGGUGGUGGGGUUCUUGUUUUAUUCAACCUAAACUAAUCAUUUAGCUGUUCAAGUACCCCCAUUAAUUUUUUCUAAACAAACUUUGAUUGAUCAUUAGAUAACCGGCCCUGUAAUCUUGCUAAAGCAACACUUCAGCAUGAUGAAGGGUCACUAUACAAAUCAAGGGCGACUCUAGUUCAUGCUUGAAAAAACAAAAAAGGAGAAUGGUUAUUGUGAAAAUAACUUUUAGAUCGAGAAACAUUUGAAUAGGGACUUUCUUAUCACGUGGCAAACUGAAUAACAUGCACUACUAUUUAGUUAAAAUAAUAUAACAUAUUUUACAAUUAUAUUUAUAAUUUAAAUUUCGUAAGUACAUGUUUUAACUGAAUAGUAUGUGCCAUUUUUUCUACCCAUGACAAGGAAGUGGAUCAAAAUCUUUCUCCUCCUUAUGCAAUGCAAGUCAAAUUGGACUUUUCUUUAUGAUAAUAGUAUUUUGUGUAUCAAGAAAAGAGAGAUAAUGUAAGAAAAGAAAGAAGUAGCAAUGGAGUAUCUAAUUAUGGAGAUUGGACAAAGAUCUUUGAAAAAUGCCAAGUGAUGUACUAAGCUACUCUCCUAAUUAGGAGAGGGCCCCAUAAAGGUUUAUGGCAUAGAAUUAGAAACCGUCCAAAUUGAAAGUUCAUGCAACCACUAUUUUGUUUAUACAAUUAUAAGUAGCGGUUAAGAUCCUCACUGGGUUUUAUAUAAAUACGUACCUAGAUGUGAAUUUAUUAUCAUGUGUGUUUGCUUCUACAUCUCUCAUUCCCUUUUCAUUUCUCUUGCAAUUUGAGCACUUCUUCAAAUAUACACCAACUUUUCUUAUAAAACCAUCUAGUACAUUAAUCUCUUUUCCAUUAGUUAUGGAAGCUAAAUGUGCUUUUCUUCUUGCACUAAUUGCAUGCUUUGAAAUUGUGUGCAUUGAGGGCAGGCCAUUUUGGCCGAAGAACAAAGAGUUGAUCAGCACAAUUGAAGCUAACUCUAAAAGGGAAUUGGGAGAGCAAGGCAGCCAACCCACACCCCAUCACAUUGCUAGUCCCAUGGCACCUGAUCAUGAUUCAAUUUCAGGUACUCAUGCAGCAUAUACAGAUGAUUUUAGACCUACAACACCAGGAAACAGCCCUGGUGUUGGUCAUAAAUUCACACACACAAGAGAGCAACCAGCAACAGCUAGGAAAUCUGUUACUGCAGGAACAAGGCCCACAGCACCUGGUCACAGCCCUGGUGUUGGCCAUGUUGUUCAACUACAAAAUGCCAAACCAAGUCCAUAGACACAUGGCAAAGGGGUUUGUGGCUCAGUUGGUUAAGAGCAUUUACCCUUGCACCCAAAGUCCUAGGUUCGAUUCUCCUCUACCCCAAUAUUAUUUGUAUAAAAAUAAAAUAAAAAAUCCAUGGACACAUGUAGGGGUUUGUCAAUUAUGGGGUUUAUGUUAUGUAAAUGACCAUUAAUUUAGGCUCUCAGUUAGGCAUGUCAAAAAUAAUUAUCAUGCUCUUCCUUGGUUUCAUGUUUCAAUAGAAGUAAUGUAAAGGUAUGUAAGAUGCUUGUCCAAAAAAUAAUUGGCAUGUAAUUCUUUGUAUUUAUGUGUCACGUGGUAGUGUCGGGUUCGAACUCCCAUGACAUUGUGGUAAUGUGUGCAUGAAAAACUUAUCUUCCCCUGUAAUUUAGACUAUCACUUGUACUAAAAAAAUUAUGCCACAUCAAGCUUCUUAUGCAAAAUAAAAGUGUCAUUGUAUAUUUCUCUCUGUUUUACUACAUGUACACUGAAUUAAUCCGACUUGGAUAGAUAUAGUGGAUUUCACAUGCCAGAUUUCUGUACACAUGUUAAUAGAUUAUCAAUCUAGUAUAACACAUAAAAGGAAAAAAAUAUAUAAUAUUUUCAUAUUAUAAGUCCACAUAUUGAGCAUACAUAAUCAUUAUUUAAUAAACUAUUAUCUUCCCGCAUACAUAUAAGUUGUGUAUGUUUUUAAUUAAAAAAAAUAAUUUAAGAGAUAACAAUUUUAGUUGUAUUGGCCCUUUGUGGCUAGUGGCUUUUUCAGCUGAAUUAUGAAUGCAAUUCCAAAAUUUUUAUUUUAAAAAAAAGAUAGUUACACUAUGAAAAAUAAAAAUAAAAAAGUGCACGGCCGACAUUUAAAAAAGUUACUUUUGCAAUUGAAAUAUGAAAGUAAAAAAUAAAUUUCAAUCUUCCCGUAUAAUAAACAAAGUAAAAGAAAUUAAUAAUAAUAUAGAGUGCUGCAUCUUAACCAUAUAUACCUAAAAUUCACAAAUACGUAUACUCCACUCCACAUGAAGGAAAUCUUAAAUUUAGAAGAAAAUUUGAGAUGCAGCUGGGAUCUCAGUUUCAUGGGGGAUCAAGGAUGAAACCUUGAGAGGAGAGGAGCUAUGGAGGAGAUGCGAUGCAGGCUCGAUUUUAUGAAUAAGAUGAGGGUUGUCACUAAUUGUUUACAAAUUAACAUAAAACUAGGUUAACAAAUGUAUCAGUUUUUUAAUAAAUAAAAAAUGGGUUAGAAUUUUGCACCAUGAAAAGCAGGUCGAGCUAUUGAUCAACCAAAGAAUCAUGAUAGGCCGGACCAUAAGACCAAAUUUUAGUCAAGAAUGAUAUGAAUCGAAACCAGAUACAAGGAGAACAAUAUGCAAAAAGUUAGGACCACAAGUGAGAGCAAAAGGAAAAAAUAAAAUAGAAAGUUAGGAGGACCACAACAUAUGAAGAGGGUAAAACUAUCUAUUUCCAUAUAAGGGAGGGGACAACUAGCCUUAGGUCCUAUGGACAGAGAUGUAAUCACUUUUCUUUUUGUGGAAGCUUAACAACAUAAAAGCAAUUCCUAGUAUAACACUUUACACACUGGAGAAUAAAGUAUCCAACAGCAACAGCCAAUCAACCCCUUUUUCCAUAUUUACAUUAUAUUGAGAGACAAAAACAUUAUUUAAAAAAAGAAAAAACAGAGAAUGCAACCUGCAAGCGACAGAAGCCACAUGAAAGCCAACACCUAAUGCCCUACUUAUUUCGAAAUCGAGAGGCUGAUAAAAUUAACAUUGAUAAUUUGGUCACCUCCAUAUAUGAAUGAAAUUUGAUAGCAUAAAAGUACUUGAGAGGCGCUUUUCCAAAAAUCACUUUUAUAACACAUAAAUAUUUCAAUGUUUUUAUUAAAUACAGUCAUAAACGUUUUUAGUUGUUGAAAACUAAUUUUAACUCUUCCAGAAGUACUCCAAAACAAAUCCAAAGAUAUAUUUGAAUAGGGAAUUGUUAACUAUAACUAAUGAACUAUCUUGUUCAAUAUGGUUUAUAUUAAGUGAGACCGAGCUUUGUUUGUUUGAAUUUUAAUUUUUUGGCAUAAGGAAAGAUAAAUGGACGUUGCCACAUUGGUAUCUAUGCAUGUUCCUCAAAAGCAGGAGCUCAAUUUGUCUAGGAAAGUAAUCAAAUUGAUUGAGCCGCCACAUGCAUAGCUUAAAAGUUACAACCCCUUCCCUUUUAUUCACCUUGAAGAAGUUAAAAAAAAAAACAUAAAAUAUAGCCAGCCAGCCAGAUCACACAUGAUUUUGCCUAGCCUAAAUGAGCGUGACAUCUGAUGCUAACCCUUUCAAGCCAAGCCCUUGGUUGGCAUCUUCAAAUUUGGCAGCCGCAAAGUGGAAAAGAGUCACUGAAUCCUACUAACUAUGUGUGUGCGCCCUCUAUAUAUAGCCUAGAUUCUUGAAUUAUAUAUCACACGAUAAUCAAAGAGAUUAUAUAUAGUAUAUUAGAACUUUACCUUUACUUGCAACUUGGCGAUUGUAGACAAAGGGAAUCACAAGAUAUAUAGAAAGCUGCAUGCAGGGAAUUUAAAUUAAGAGUCAAAAUCGUCUCCAUGUGCAAGCCCCUAGCUAUAUAUUUUAGUCUUUUACAGUUGUGAUUGCCAUAUAGUAUAGCUGCCUUUUGUAUAUUAAUUCUACUAAGAAUCUUAUGGCAAGUGGCAGAUACAUAUGGUUACCUAUAACAACAAAAGUUAAGUAUUGUGAUGAGUUUUUUAAUUUGGGGCAUAGUGGCAUGGGUAGGCGGAAAGAAUCCCUCUCUCCACAUUCUUGGGUCAGGGGGGUGUGUGUGUGUGUGAUUCAAGUACCAACUUGUUCUUCUUCUUUAAUUUCUCUCAAUAAACAACACUAUAUGGAGAGAGAGAGAGAGAGAGAGAGAGAGAGAGAGAGAGAGAGAGAGAGAGAGAGAAGUAAAAAUGUAAAAAGAUAGUUAAAGAUGAUGACAGAAGAUUUUAUUUGUAAUUGAGAGGCAAUAGAAACCAAUUCAGUAUCUGCAUGUAUCUGAAUGUCAGAGACUGAGUUAGGAAUAUACUUAAUGUCAAUGUCGAGUGCUAAUGUUCUGCAUAAUUCUCAUCAUAAUCAGAUGCAUUUAACAUGCAUAAUGUUAUUAGUAUUUUAAUGUUAUUGUAGACAUUAAUUCUUGUCACCUAAGCGUGACCUGCAAAAGUGAUUGUUCUAUAUUCUCGUUAAGGUUAGAAAACUAACUACAUUGUAAACUGCUUCUCUAAAAUGUGAAAAAGCUAGUCUGAAUUAGAACUUAUGAGCAAAAAAGAUGAUUUGAACUUAGUAUCUACUGCUUAGUUCUCAUUCAAUAUCAAUGUCAUAUGAGUUAGAACUCAUGAACGUGCUUAUUGUACAUCCCACGUGAACUACCCAUUAUAAAUUUGAUUAUAUAAUUACUAAAUUGUGAGAGCUUAACAUGAGAGAGAGAGAGAGAGAGAGAGAGAGAGAGAGAGAAGGCUUCAAAUGAGUACACUUGCAAUAUUUAAUUUCUUUGCUAUAGUGCAUUCACGUUCUCCAAGGAUUCUUCCUUAAUGUUUGGGGCUUCGUUUUAUCUCUAGGGUUAGUUUCACUUUUCUCGGUUUCUUUAAUUCUGGGAGUCCAUCCUUAGCUGUUCACCCUAUAAAUACCCGUUGAGAGGGAAUUAUCUUCAUAAGUCUCUCUCCCCUUCUCUAAGAGCUUGAGUUCAUUAGAGUAUACCAUAUACUAAGCCAUUUUAUAAAGUCUUAGCAUAUAUACAUACUUCUCAGCUCUCACUAUGGCCAAUGUCAGUUAUGCCGCUUGCUUAUUUUUUCUUCUAAUGAUUUUCUCUCAUGAACUGAUCUGUAUUGAAGGAAGGAACUUGAACGUAAGUAAGGACUUGAAGUGUGUGAAAUGCUUGAGCCCGGACCCUAAAACCAGUGCAGGAGAGGUUGAUGAAGAACACACUCUGGUUGAGAGCCCAAGCCCUGGUCAUGUAGAAGCUUUUCGACCCACCACACCAGGUCACAGUCCCGGAGUUGGCCAUGCUGUUCACAACUAGAGGCCUCAGCAUCAUCUUCGUAUUUGUGACAGUGUGUGCUUGUAUUAUUAUCUAGGGUUUUCAGUUCUCAGGCCAAAAAGAAAAAAGAAAAAAAAAAGUAUUUUACAAUUGUAUUCACUAUGGUUGUUUAGCUAGAUAGGUAUUAUGGCUUGUAUAUGUAUGUUCGCUUUUGAUUUAAUGAAUAUGCUUGGUUUCUAUUGUCUUAAGUUGUUGUCUCUCAAACAUUUAGAAUGUUCUGCGAAAAUCUCUUCAUAUGUAGUUGUUUGUCUUGACUCCCAACUUUAACCUUUUAGAUUCGGAUUUCGGUCGGGACGUUAUAUUGUAAUCUCUAAAACAACAAAAGACUCAUUCCUCCUCCUCCUUCUCCUCUUCCUGUUAUUGUGGAUGAAUGAAAACAAGCACGGUGAGAAAAAGGCUCAUAUGAAUCCAAAACCACCACGCUUAUUGCAUGUGUCUGCAUGGUGAGAAAGACAUGGACGUUGAACACAUGUAAUUAGAGGUAAUGGAAAUGUUGCUUAAUUAGAGAAAAAAAAAAGGAAAAUGGAAACGGACCUUUCUAAUUCCAACUUUCCAAGCCACACCCUCGAAAAGUCAAUGAUCAAACAUCUGGACCAAAUAGGGAAUUGCUGGGGUUCUCAAGGCUCUCUCUUCUAAUUUCUUUUCUACUAUAAGUUUGUUUGCCGCAAUCCUCAAUUAAAUUGCCUUUUCUUGCAAUUUCAGUGUAGAUAUCAAAACAAUAUUGGCGGGCCUAUACAAACCAUCAAAUCAGAUUAUAAGUACAAUAACUACUUACUUGUUUUCUAUUUUUCAAAUUACAUUGUCGAGGUGCACAAUAAAUCUAGAGAGCAUGCAUUUUUGUUCUAGCCAAAUUAAUUCAUCUGACUGACAACACCUUCAAGACUAUCUAUCAUGUAGGGCUUGUUUGAGAGUAUUAACAAGCUACAUAAACAAGCAUUCAUGCGAUAUAGAGGGCGCCUCUCUCUCUCUCUCAAGUUUUUUUUAAAUACAUAGCGAUCUUAGGGGGAGGAGGGACUCGAACAUAUGGCCCACUCUUUAGAUAUGAGUAUAUAGAGGUGAAAUUGGUAUUUAGGUGAAAGGGGUAAAUCUAAAAUCAAUUAGACAGAUCUACAAAAAGGAACAAGGUGAACCUAGCAACAAUAUGAGUAGUCAACAACUAGUCAUAGACUCUCAAACACACAGUUAACAAACAAUCCACAAUCGAUCAAUCAGUAAUAACCUACAUAUCUAGAAGAUAUUUAUGUGACAACCUCAGCACUCAUAAUAAUCCGUCAAUCUAGGCAUCCCCAAUGCUAGCAACAACUGUGGUGAACAAUGUGUGUGCAUCCAUUCAGAAGUUGCAAGAGUAUUAAACAAAGGAUGACUAGUCAAUUAAUCAAAAACAAACACUAAAAAAAUGUUCACGAAGAAACCCCUCACUGGGGAAAACAGGAGGUCACCAUCCGACCAGGAAAUUCACUAAGCAUAAAAGAUUCUUACAUAGAACACACCAAGAAGCUUAUAGCUGGCAAGGUUAAAGCUCACGUGAGAAAAAAUAAUAAUGUGGAAAUAACACGUGACAAAUAAAUGAUAAUUUGUCAUGCAAAAAGUAAACUUUUUAAAAAAAAUUAACUAGCCAUACAAGAGAGAACCCUACAAUGCAUGGAACGCAAACAUAAAUGAAUUACCUUCAAUGAGCUUUGAAUGCAUUGAGGCAUACUGUGAAGUUGAAGCACUAACUUAGACUAGUCUAGAUUCUUUGAGCUUGAUUGAAUACAUAAGAAAUUUAGAUAAACAUAACCUAACAAGAGGAAACUUUAAUGAGAGAGUUUGAGAACCGAAAUUCAUUCCCACAAUGCAAUUCAUGGUUAAGAAAAAUGAAACCUAACUGUUCUUAACCACUUAAGCUACAAAUCAAUUAUUGUAUAUGAGUUUCCCUCUCUUUAUAUAUGAGUAUAACGAGGAAAUUUUAAUGACAGAAUAUGAGAACCGAAAUCCAUUCACACAAGCCAAUCCACGGCUAAGAAAAAGGAGGCCUAAAUUUUUGUGGAUAUAUACCUUGAUUCUUGACCUAGUACAAACAAGAUAAAUCGUGCUAGGUUAUGUAAACGACAUGACCUAAGGCGUUUCAUACUGUGUCUUGCGCGUGUUUGAAACUAAUUUAUUACAUCUCUACUAUUAUAAAGCUAAACCCUAACCUACGGUGUCACAAGCUUUGAAACCAAAAAAACAAAAGAAAAGAAAAACCAAUAGCACCUCACAUACAAAACCGAAAGAAAAAACCACCACAAUGCGUAAGGAUGUUAAUUUUAAAUUGAGCCAAAAUAAAUAAAUAAAACACAACAGAAAAGACCACCACAAUGCCAGGAGGUUAUGUAAAGAUAUCAAAGGUCCUAAUUCUGCCACAUGUCAGAAGAUUGAAGAAGAGAGUUGUUGAAAUAUUGUUAAGACUGUUAGGCAGUUUUAGAGUUCUGUUAAAGUAGUUAGAAAGGCUAAGAGGUUAGAAACGUGUACACAAAGCUUUGUCAAGCUAGUAUAAAACCGAUUACUGUACUGUGUUGAAUAAUCAAGUAUGAAUACAUCAAUUCUUCUUCUAAGAUCUCUGCUUUUCUCUGUUAAACUCUGUUCAAUAUUGCUAUUCUCACAUGGUAUCAUCGCCAUAGUACGAUCCUGAGCUUCCGCAUUCCUUUUCUUUGCUGCAAUUUCUGUUCUUCUGUCUCUAUCCUCUCUUCUCUUCUUCUUUGUUCAUUCAUCGAGCUUCUUUCCCUCUUCAACCCCACUAUUCCCUUUCGUAGUCUUUGCUCUGCCUACCACCUGUUUGUUCUUUUACCUCACAGAAACUUCUGCUUGUUCUAUUGCCCAUUUCUUUUCUUCUCAAACCUAUUAUCUUCCUGAAUACUCAUCAUGGUGACUGCUACUCAACUUCAAAUUGUUCAAUCUCCGAUUACUACCUUAAUUCCCACUGUCUCUACUUCUGUGACAGUUAAGCUUGAUGAUGCAAAUUAUCUCACUUGGAAUUUUCAGAUGCAGCUUCUUCUUGAAGGUCAUGGCUUAUUGGGGUUUGUUGAUGGUUCACGGCUGUGUCCUCCUCGUUUUGAUGAAGAUUCUGCUGUUGAAGGUGUGGAAACUGAUGCUUAUGCAGUGUGGAAGAUGCAUGAUCGUGCCUUGAUGCAAUUGCUAAUUGCCACCCUUUCUUCUGCUGCAAUCUCAUAUGUCAUUGGGUGUACUAGUUCUCAUGAUAUGUGGGUUCAGUUGAAGGACAGAUUUUCUAUGGUUACCAAAGCUAGGAUUUUUCAGAUGAAAAGUGAGCUUCAGAAUAUCAAGAAGGGUGCUGACCCAGUCUCUCAAUACUUGCACAAGAUAAAGGAUGCUAGAGAUCAUCUUGCUGCUGCUGGGGUUUCUUUUGAUGAUGAUGAUAUUGUCAUCUUGGCUCUUAAUGGUCUUCCCCCAGAAUAUAAUACAUUUCGGUGUAUGGUUCGAGGCAGGGAAAAUGUGCUCUCUCUUAAAGAUUUUAGAUCUCAGUUGCUUGCUGAAGAGGCCAUUCUUGAACAUACUUGCUCUGCCACUCCUUUUGCCUCUGCAAUGAUGGCGAACAAUCAAUCAUUCCAAGGAACAUCUCUUGUUCUUGCUGACACUUCCCCGUCUGUCCCAUCUUCUAUUUCAUCUAGCCACAAUGGUGGUGUUCAUGGUGGUCUCAAUGGAGGUGUCCACUCUAGCUCUAAUGGUGGCUCUUUUUCACAUAAUGGUGGUUUCCAAUCUGGCCCUAAUAGAGGUUCCUUUUAUCGAGGAAGAGGCAGACCUCGGCAUCAGUUUUCUUCUAGUCCAAGACCGUAUCAAGCUCCACCUAAUUCUGGCCCUGGCAUCCUUGGUUCGGGUACUGAUAUUCCAACUUGUCAAAUAUGCAACAAGAAAGGUCAUCUUGCUGCUGAUUGUUAUCAGCGACAUCAGCAAUUCACAAGUCCUAGUUCCUCUGUUCAAUGCCAAAUUUGCUGGAAGUAUGGCCACACCGCUAUUCAGUGUUACCACAGAGGCAAUUUUUCCUAUCAAGGCAAACCUCCUUCAUCCAAUCUUACUGCAAUGCAUGCCGACUGUUCUCCUUCCUCAUCAGCUGAGCAAUUUUGGGUAGCUGAUACUGGAGCAACAGCCCAUAUGACGUCUGAUUUGUCUCAACUCAGUCUUGCUACCCCUUUCUUAGGAAAUGAGACUAUCACCACUGCGGGGGGUUCAGGUUUGAGUAUUUCUAGUGUUGGCUCUUCUUCUUUGAAUACUCCUCAGUGUUCUUUCCAAUUAUCGAAAGUUUUGCAUGUGCCAAAGAUAUCUCAGCAUUUGCUUUCUGUGCAUCGGUUAUGUAAAGAUAAUAACUGCAGAUUUAUAUGUGAUGCAUUUGGCUUUUGGAUUCAGGACAAACUCACGGGGAGUGUUCUUCUCAAGGGGCUGUGUAGAGCUGGCCUAUAUUCAAUUCCUUUCUUUCCUUCACAGCCUCAUCCUACUCCAGCUGCUUCUCUCCUCAAACAACAUUUCUGCUUUCUUGGACAUCCAGUAAACACUAGUCUGUGGCACAAGCGAUUUGGUCAUCCCUCCAAUAUCAUUACUACUGCUCUUUUACAUCAAACACAGGUUCCUUUUUCUUCAGACAAAGUCCAAUCUAUCUGUCAUCAUUGUUUAGAAGGCAAACUAGCUAAACUUCCUUUUCAUUAUCCAGCAGUAAAAUCUGUCAAACCUUUAGAGGUGAUUCAUAGUGAUGUGUGGGGUCCUUCUCCAACAAUAUCUGUUGAGGGGUUCAAAUAUUAUGUUAGCUUUGUAGAUGAGUGUACUCGAUUUACUUGGCUCUUUCCAAUGAUCAAUAAAGCAGAAGUUUACUCUAUUUUUGUUCAUUUUCAUGCUUACUUAGUCACUCAGUUCUCUGCUUCUCUUAAGGUUUUUCAAAGUGAUGGAGGUGGUGAGUAUCUUAGUCAUAAAUUUCAACAUUUUCUUCUUGCUAGAGGUAUCAUUCAUCAUAAAUCAUGUCCCUAUACACCUGAACAAAAUGGCUUAGCUGAGAGAAAACACCGACACAUCUUAGAGACUGCUAUCACUUUAUUGCAAACUGCUCAUUUACCACCAAAAUUUUGGUUUCAUGCUUGUGCUACUUCAGUCUACUUGAUCAAUAGGAUGCCUUGUAAAACUCUUCAUUUAAAAUCUCCUUAUUUCUUAUUGUUUGGAUCUGCCCCAGCCAUUACUCAUCUAAAGGUAUUUGGCUGUGCUUGCUUUCCUUUGCUCAAGCCUUAUAAUACAAACAAACUUCAGCCAAAAACUUCUACUUGUGUCUUUCUAGGCUAUGCAGGACAAUAUAAAGGCUAUAUUUGUUUUUCUCUCCUUACCAAUAGACUAUUUGUCACUAGACAUGUCCUAUUUGAUGAAACUAUGUUUCCAUUCACAUCUGUCCAUCCAGUAAGUAUCUCUUCAUCUCCGUAUCUCCCUUCCUCUUCUCCUCCUCCAUCCAUUUCAUUCACUAAUACUGUCUUAUCACCUCUCUCUUCUCUUUCCAUUGCCUCACCUUCUCCUUCCACCUUUGAAGCCAAUGAACCUUUGACUACUUCCCCUUCUGCUACACAUUCAGCUACACAGUCUCCUCUCCCUGUGGAUCCUGAUUUUCAGCCUGAAAGUCUUCGUGUUGUCUUGCCUCUACCAUCUAUAAAUCUGCAUCCUAUGACAACACGGUCUAAAAAUGGCAUCUCCAAGAGGAAGGCUUUUUCUGCUUCUACUUCUACUGAUUUCUCUACAAUUGAGCCUAGUUCUUUCAAGGCUGCUUCUCAAUCACCGGAAUGGCAAUCUGCCAUGCGGGAGGAAAUUGAGGCUCUUCAUGCUCAAGGUACUUGGGAUUUGGUUCCUCUCCCAGCUCAUAAGAAUCUUGUUGGCUGUAAAUGGGUUUAUAGGAUCAAGAAGAAUGCAGAUGGUUCUAUUGCUAGGCAUAAGGCUCGCUUGGUUGCUAAGGGAUUUAGUCAAGAGGAGGGUAUUGAUUAUUAUGAAACCUUCAGUCCGGUAGUUAAACCAACCACUGUUCGAUUAGUUCUGGCUCUGGCCGCUCAGUUUCAGUGGUCCUUACGGCAACUUGAUGUUAAAAAUGCGUUCUUGCAUGGUGUUCUUCAAGAGGAGGUUUAUAUGACACAACCUCAAGGCUUUGAGAGUAAGCUUUAUUCUUCUGAUUUUGUUUGCAGACUCAAGAAGUCCUUGUAUGGUUUAAAACAGGCUCCUCGUGCCUGGAAUGAAAGAUUUACUAGCUUCUUACCAAGCUUGGGUUUUCAAGCUUCAACUGCGGAUCCAUCUCUCUUUCUUCACCAUUCGUCACUUGGUACUGUGGUUUUGCUUCUCUAUGUUGAUGAUAUCAUUCUUACUGGCAGUAAUUCAUCUCUUAUUGCAUCUGUAAUUAGUGCUUUAACUCAGGAGUUUGAUAUGAAGGAUUUAGGCCAAUUGACUUAUUUUCUGGGGCUCCAAAUUUCAUAUCAGUCUGCUGGCUUGUUUGUGUCUCAAACUAAGUAUAUCAAGGAACUGCUUGGCAAGGUUGAUUUGCAGGAUUCAAAACCGUGUCCUACUCCUUGUCUUCCUUAUCACAGACUCUUGAAAGAUGAUGGCAAACCUUAUUCUCAUCCAGAGCAGUAUAGAAGCAUUGUUGGUGCUUUGCAGUACCUCACUUUCACAAGGCCAGAUAUUGCCUUCUCAGUGAAUCAAGCUUGUCAAUUUAUGCAUAAUCCUAUGGAAUCUCAUGUUGUGGCAGUUAAGAGAAUCCUGAGGUAUUUGAAAGGAACCAUUGAUUUUGGCAUUUGGUUUAAGCCUGGUCUUCUUCAUCUGCACGCUUAUAGUGAUGCUGACUGGGCUGGGGAUCCUAAUGACCGCAGAUCUGUUUCGGGAUUUAUUGUUUACUUAGGCUCUAGUCCUAUUUCUUGGGCUUCUAAGAAGCAACAUACUGUCUCUCGUUCGUCCACUGAGGCAGAGUAUAGGGCUUUGGCGAUUACGGCUGCUGAACUUGCAUGGAUCAGACAGUUGUUCUGUGAUCUGCACGUUCCAUUACAUGUUCCUCCUUUAAUUCAUUGUGACAAUAUCUCUGCUAUUGCUCUCUCUUCCAACCCAGUGUUUCAUUCCCGAAUGAAACAUCUACAGAUUGAUUAUCAUUUUGUUCGAGAACGAGUCAUUCGGGGUGAUUUACUUGUGCAACAUGUCUCUUCUGCAGAACAAUUUGCUGACAUUCUCACUAAGGGGCUGUCUAUCCCUUUAUUCCAGCAUCAUUGUUCCAAUCUCAUGCUUGGCUCCUCCAAGCAUGAGAUUGAGGGGGCAUGUAAAGAUAUCAAAGGUCCUAAUUCUGCCACAUGUCAGAAGAUUGAAGAAGAGAGUUGUUGAAAUAUUGUUAAGACUGUUAGGCAGUUUUAGAGUUCUGUUAAAGUAGUUAGAAAGGCUAAGAGGUUAGAAACGUGUACACAAAGCUUUGUCAAGCUAGUAUAAAACCGAUUACUGUACUGUGUUGAAUAAUCAAGUAUGAAUACAUCAAUUCUUCUUCUAAGAUCUCUGCUUUUCUCUGUUAAACUCUGUUCAAUAUUGCUAUUCUCACAAGUAUUACUUAAAUGAAUCCGUCCCGUUGAAUAUGUUUAAUAUACCUGAUCCAACCGUCCAACAAAAAAGAAACUCAUUAGACUUCAAUCCAGAAAGCCACUUCAACAACCACAAGAGAGAAGAUCUUGAGCAUCUUACAAAUAUAUAUUCAACAAACCCAACUGUAUAGAUUAUAAUAAUAAAUCACUACUUAAUCGUCCUAAAACUGGGUUAGCUACACUAAUUAAUCGUAUUAGUACUAAUUGCUCUAGCGGGUUUUCUUUUUCAAUAUUGCCAUGAUGAACUGCAAAGUCUGCUGAGGAAUCUUUCUAGGUUUUGGUGGCUAAUGAUGGUGUUAAAAGCUCGCACAACAGAUUGGAACCGCAAAAGGUUUAUGGGGUCUUUUCAUUUCGAAAGUUAGGUUUGUCUGACCAAAAAGAAAUCAUAUCUUCUAUAUAAAUUAUAAUUACUUUGCUUGAAUCUGAACAUUUUGUGUACGCCGACGACCCCAUAAAUAUAUAUCUAACCUUUCUCCAAAUAGUGGAUCGUAGUUAGUGGGAGGGUUCAUUUAUAGGUGAAAUAGUGGGAAGGGCACCCCUUCAUUUUUUAAAGCCUCAAUGCAGCCAGCCCUCUAGGGUAUAGUUUGACAAAUAAAAGUGACAUUAUAAUCAACCCUGUGAAGAUCCAGAUCUCAUGCCAGUAUUGUAUGUCGAGCACUAGUCUAGCUCAUGUAAGUUGAGUUACAAAUACUAUUAGUUUGGAUGCUCUUAUGACUAUUUAUUUAUUCCGUCGUCGCUUAUUCAAGUUUAAAUUUUAUAUGGGCGCAUUUCAAGAAUAAAUAAUAAAAGGUUAUAGUAUGAGGGGAAUUUUGCAGAACAAAGCAUUAGGUCAAGGUGGGAAUGUUCACCUGAAGUUGGCUGCAAAUAUCGACAUCAAUCAAUCGACACCCUGUUUUUUUCGAAAAUAGGUUUGGUUUUUUAAGGAAAAACAAAAAAGACCAUGUCGGUAGGGGAGGCCAAUCAAAUGGUGGCACCGUGUUGACACAUGCGCAGACAUUUGCCCUUGUAAAUUCUGCUCUAUAUAUAUAAUAUAUGCAGGGGGUUUUUUAAGACAAAUUUAAAAAGUAAAAAAGAAAUUGAAGGGUUAUUUGAUUGCUUGGGCGGGCCAUGGGGGCAAACAGAAUAUAGACAACUAGCAUGUAGCGGGGGUGCAUUAGUUUUUGUAAUGAGAGGUUGGGCUUAAACAGUUAAUAUAAACCGUCCAGAGUACUUUACACUUUAGCUUUGCUUUUUUUGGUGAUUUUAUAUAUAUCUCACAAUCUGUGUGGAAUCUUCCCGCUCCUAUGGACCUGCACAUGCCUUGCCUCCUCAACCCGUUGAUACUAUUUCUUCGGGGGAGAGAGAGAGAGAGAGAGAGAGAGAAAGAGAGGCCGUUUGGCGCACUCAGCUCUUCAAGCCCAUAUAAAUACCACAGUAGAGCAAUAGGUUUCCAUACGCCACACUUCUUCAUCAAAACCCUCCAAUACCAUAUAACACCAAAUACUAAAUCUCUCUCUCUCUCUCUCUCUUCUCUGAUCUAUCUAAAUUUGCUUAAGAUGUCCAAGAUUUCUAGGCUGAUGAUGACCACCACUAUCUGUACUUGCCUGCUCUUUUUGAUAUGUUGCCAUGAAGCCUUGCAUGUGGAGGGAAGGCAUUUGAAGUUCGGGCCGAGCUCAAGGCAUAGUGAGAACAUGGUGAUGAGGACUACCACUCCAAGCACUAAUGAUGAUCACCGUAACGCUAGUGAUGGCCAUGGUUCGGUGCAAGCUGAUCAUGAUCAGCCAAGAAAGGUUGAACAUGUUACUGACGAUUUUCGACCCACGACCCCCGGUCACAGUCCCGGCGUUGGUCACUCUAUUAAAAACUGAUUUGUUUAGUCAAUAGGGUUUAGCCCAGUGGAAAAAAGACAUUGACUUGUACACUGAGUUUCAAGUUUGAAUCCCCACGACAUUAUAGUUGUGCCCUCUUCCCCUAUCGUUUAGACUAUCGCUUGUACUCAACCACCCAAAAACAAAAAAAAACUUAAUUGUUUAAAUUUAUCCUAGCUACCUAUUUCAAUCGAUCACAUGUGUUGUACCAUGUAUUAAUUACUUGGUCUUUCUCAAUGUAUAUAAAGAUCAUCCAGUUCCUCUCUCCACUAGUAUUCAAUUGAUUUUGAAUUUAGAUGUCUCAAUUAUGUCUGUUUUAUUAGCCGUUUUCUUCUAUUGUUAUGUUUAUCGUGGUAAAAUAAGAAAUGACUAAAAGUUAUAAUUUAACCUUACGCACCACCCUCCUAGUUUAAUUAGGAGUUAAUAGUAAAAAGGAUACAUCAUAGUGGCAGAUAGCCGCCACACCUCCUAGUUUAAUUAGAAGUUAAUAGUAAAAAGGACACAUCAUAGUGUCAGAUAGCCGCGAAUAAGAGUAAGAUUAAUGUACAACAAACUUUAAAACUAACAAAUUAACAAUAUAUAUAUACAAGUGAUAGUAAUCUAAAGUAUAAAAGAAUGAAGGUUUCUCACACACAGACUAUGUAAGUGUCAUGGAGUUUUGAAACUAAGACUAUUGCAAGUUAAUGCCAUUUUUCACUGGACUAUACCCUAUUGGUAUAAAACUAAACAUAGGUUUAAACAAGUUUAGCAAAAGCUAAAAGUGGGUUUAUAGAAUUAAUUCGAAACUUGGGUGGUUUGCUAACUUUGCUUGGUCCCAUGUGCAAUUAUAAACAAGUACGGUUCGUUAAGUUAGUUUAAGCACUAGUAAAGCUGACGAAUUAUGGCUAGCUUGACCCCACUUUGAGGUCGAUCUCUUGGAUUCUAAGUUUAAGACGAAAUUGACCAAAAACAAAAUAAAAGUGACAAAGAUGCACGAGAGCUUUGGUCCAAAGGACCAAAAGGCUGCUUAAAGUUAAAGUGUCGUUCCAAGGGGCCAAAAGGCUGCUUAAAGUUACGUUUGGUAGGUUUUCCAAACUGAUUGAUUAGGGAUUUGGUCUCACUCAGAGACAAUGGCUCGUGGGUUGCCUUAUAAAAUUUGCAAGUUGGAGCAUGCGCUCUGUACGGCGUUUUGAUUCGGUUAGUCUCAAAGAAAUGCUUAUUUAUGUGUUAAUGAUGCGUAAAUUAAUAUCUUUGUACCUUUCUUGUUCUUGUUCACUCUCUCUCUCUCUCUUUUUUUUUCUCUUUUUUUUUUUGGGGGUUUCAAACGAUAGAUAACUUCAAUUAAUCAACGGACGAGUUUACAUCAUGCUCAAGUUGUGGCAUGUACCGAUCAGUGACUGUUAAGGUGCAUGGUCUUGUUAGAACUAAAGCUAUAUAUAGAAGUUGUAGAUGUGGAUUAGCUUAGUUGGUUAAGACAGACAAUGUAUCUGCCUUUAUACUCAAAUUCGAAUGAGUUUUUUUAAUUUAAACCCUACACUUUUCUUUGUUCACUCCAAUACUUAAAUCAUUAAGCUCUUAAGUUUUAUUAUUGUGUAAAAAGACAAAAAAAGGUCAUCCAUCUUAAUACUUAAUCCUAGUACAUCUAUACAUACACCACACCACUCUUCAUAUUAAGUUUAAGAAAAACACAAACUCCUCUAUAACCUAUUGCCAUAUUACUCUUCUCUUCCAAUCCACUUCUCAAACCCUAAAUACGGUAUGCAAAUAGUGACUUGUGAGUCAUCAGUUGAAGUAUGUAAUGUGAGAUUAUUUCUUGGUUUGGGACUCCUCCCAAAAUUAUUGAGGAGAUUAUUUCUUACUCUAGGACUCCUCCCAAAUUAUUUCUUGGCUUGAGACUCCUCCCAGAAUUAUCUUCCUUGCCCUUCGGGCUUUUUGAAUAUGAUCAGUUCAAAGAACAAAAGAAGAAAAAAAAUACAAAGACAGAAGCAACUGGAUGUAGCUUCCUGAAACUUGUGCUGAAGCACCAGAGGGCAACUCAAUCUGAAAGAGCAACACAACACAAUCUGUUUUGAUUGGAUUGGAGUGAAUAAUCAAUGGAGUAAAUAGCUCAGUAGAGCAAUUAUAUUAAUCAAUGGAGUACAUAGCUCAGUAGAGCAAUCAUACAACAGAACAGAGUCUAUGUGACGUUUACUUGUGAUAUGAAGGACAAUGGUUGAUGAGGUUUUUAUUCAUCAAUGGUGUGGGGUGUGAGAUCUGAUGGAGUUGGGAAAAAUAUAAUAAGGAGAGCUAGAGUUACUUUAGGUUGUGAGAGAAGUGGGCAUCAUAUUAAGAAGCCUAAUGUAGAUUCAGAUGACGAAUAUUUGGGUGUGGUGUGUGGGGUGUGGGGUGUGAAGUUGAUGAGUUUUUUUUUUUUUUUUUUUUUCUGCUGGGUGUGUAUUUAGGGGUAGUUUUGGAAGAUAGGGGGGUUUUCUUAGAAAUUGUGAAAAUUUGAAUUAGAAGUUUGAGUGAACUUAGAAUAUGGAGUAAACAAAGAGAAGUGUGGGUUUAAUUCGAAUUCUCCUCCUUGUGAAGUAGAAUAAUUCAUUACGUUAAUUUGGUAAGUUGGGUUGAUUUUAUUAGUAGACUAAUUUUUUUUUUUUUUUUUACUUCUUCUUUCGAUAUAAACCAUAAGCAUUUAACUAUAAACUCUAAAUUAUAUACAAAAGAAUGUCGUUUUGAUCAUAAAGACAAUAUUGAUAAUACAAAAGACAUAUGGGAUCCCAUUUCUCCAUUAAUAUAGCUAGUAGCUACUGUGACUGUGAUGAUGACAGAUGAAUGAAUGCAUAGAAGUGUUAACACUAUUUUUCCCUUCACCAAGGCCAUAGAAGAAACAUAUUUUCAAGCAUAUCUCUGAGAGUACUCUAAUUAAGUUGGGAAUCUGCUAGUGGUUGUUGAAAGUUUAGCUAAUGUAUUGUCACAAUAAGAUAUCAGUAGUGAUCUCAGAUUGAGCAAAGUAAUCUCACCUAACCUUAUCAAAUCUCUUAGUUGAUGAUGAUCGAUCCUAGCUAUACCUUCUUAUUCUAGAAUAUGAUGAUAUCAAAAUGCACCAUUUCAAUUUUGGUUGCAUCAUCGCAAUCAAAUAUGUCCAUUACAUAGAAAUGUAGAAUUUUCUAAGUUUUAUUUUUAUAUCUGAGGAAUCCCUUCAAGGCAGGGCCACAUUGGACUCUCAUCCUUGUCAGGUAAACUCCAACCCCACAGUAUGUGUGUUAGUAAAUCAAGAACUUACACAACAGCAGUAGGAUUCGAACAGGUGACCUAUUAGUUUACAGUUGGCCCUCAGCUCGUCCGCCAUGGGGGCAGAAUCUUCUAGGUAUAAAUUUCAAAAUUUUCCCCAUUUAAUGGGCUUGAGUAAUAAGGCACCAAACAGAUCCUUCAUGUGAAACAGAAACAAGCCCAUAUUAAACCAGCCUUUUGUUGAAAGGCAAGGGAAAAGAUGAAGCCCAUGCCAUGAACUAUAAACACAAGAUGACCCAAAGGAAAUCAUGUUUGAACGUUUGUUUUCUCUAUACACACUAUGAAACUCUAAGUAAUUAGAUUUCUUUCUGUUGAUGUUGUCUAAGAAUGAGAAGUCUAACUUUUCCUUUGUUAUAUUCAAUCCAGGAUUAAGUGAGCUCAAGACAAAUCUUCAGAUUAUUUCGACAUUAUGAUAUGUUGAUGAUGUAUCAUUUCACCAAUUUGUAAGGUGCUCUUCGAGUCAAGGAAAGGUUGCCAAUGUUUUAAGAGAGAUUCACUAUUAUACCCAAUAUAAGAAACCAAAUUAUAUUUAAAAAAACAUAUAUGAAAUAGACUUUAGAAACACAUUCAAAGUUCAUUUACAACAUAACAAAAAGGCUUUUAACUUCUUAUAAUUUAAAAAAUUGCCAUCGAUUUCUUAAAAUAAGCCCAACCCCAAAACCUCAUAAAAAAAUCAAAACACUCAAUAGGACAUCAAAGUAAUUUAAUAAUUAAAAUUAAAUUCAAUAGGGUCAGCAAUCAUUUUUUGAAUUUUUUUUAUUUAUUUAUAGAAAUUAAAGGGUGUAGAGUUUAUCUAUAUCAUUAAAACUAAGAAUGAAUAUAUGACAAAAUAUCUCAUAUUUUUAAUAUCUAGUGUUCUAAAGUCAAGCCGCUCAAAUAAAAAGCGAUUGCGACAUUCUUACUUUUAGAAAAAGAGUGACCAUACAUUAUUAUUGCAAUGCCAACCACUAUUCCAAAUUCACCAGUUACAUAUUGAGCUUAAUAUUUCCCAAAACAGGUGAGUUUUUUCUCUACUAGCUAGCGAGAGGUGAAUAAAAAGCCUGAUGAUUCGUUCACAUGAUACAAAUAAUUUUAUUCUUCCGAACAAAAAUAAAUCGUAGUCUGAUUCGACAAACUAACGAGGCUGCCGAUAAUUAUCCACCUUCAUUAUCAGAUGAUGUAGUGGCAUGGGCUUCAAAAUUGUUCUUGUAUUCUUCGUAGCUAAAACUAACCCUGUAAUUUGGUGUCGGUGACUUGGGCACUGGUAAGCUCGAUCUUUUGGAGACGUCAAGUACUGUACCAUGAACCUCCUCAUGGUGAUUAGGAGGAUUCUGCACGCUCAUAGUUUGGCUUCGUUGCAUCCACAUCUCUCUUUCAGCUUCGCCAUUGAUAUUGAAGGUUUUGAAUUGCGCCUGUUUCUGCAUUGGCUUCAAUUGCCUCCCUUCAAUGCACAUAAUUUCAUUGCAAACUGCCAUCACUGCAAGAACCAUAAUAAAUAAGGCAAUUCGAUGAACUUCUGCCAUGUAAAAUGAACUUCAACUCUCUGUAGAGGCAAACCACUGAGGACAAAGAUCUGUCCUGACUCCUGCUACUUAUAUAGAGUACCAUCAAGCUGUUAUUUUCAUCCAUUCAUUAUCAAUCACUUCACUCGGGUCCAAACUCCUAUAUAUUCUCUUAAAUAAUCAUCAAAUAACGUCUCAAUCAAAGUACUAAAGAUAUUCAUUAUUGAAGUCUUGUUAAUGUGGGGACCACCAAUUAAUAAUAUGCAUGAAUUAUGCAUGCUCUUUUAAAAAUUUUAAAAAAAAUGAUAGUAUUUAUUGAUGAAACAUAAUAAGUACAAAGCCACGAAAGCGCUGAAAUGGGUACAGUAUCUCAAGUGACUAAACACAACAACAUGUUGAUAUGAUCUUGAGAGAAUUACGCCUAAACUAAUAAAUACUCAAACCCCUGAUUCAGCAACUCGACGCGCCUGUACUCAAACUAACAAUAUAGAUCCAUCGCGCAAUAGCAGAAACGACAUAUCCAUAUCGCAGUCAAAAAUUAAAAUACAAAACACAGCAAAUUCCUAAAGAGUUCAUGAGAAUUAAAAUAAAAUAAAGCAAACUCCUAAAGAGUAAUAAUAGACUAAAAUAAACAAAGAAAUAUGACCACCACUUCACAUCCUCUCCGGCAACCGAAAAGACCCAUAAGGUCACACCGGCUAAAUCCUUAGUGCCGCACUGGCUAAACCGCCACCCAUACAAACUGGCAACUUCCAUGAUUGUAACUCCAAACUCUGAACUAUAGCCAAAACCCUGCGUAUGUGGACCAAAAAUGAAGACUAAAUUAUGGUGAUAAUGGUGUUUUGCGAUGUCUACUUCAACAUCAGCUACAAACCAGCAUAGCAACCAUUGCUACCCGACCGACGUAGGCGCCGCCGCCUCUGCCUGCAACCAGAAACAAAAACAAAAACAAAAACAAAACAAAAUCCUUAGGCAGCAAAAAGCCUCAGAGCAUCCACAGUGGGGGGGUGUAAAGCCAUUUUUACAUCCCCUUUACAACCUCUAGGGGUUACUGUUCUGGUUUGCUCCAAUGAGAAAUAUGUAAAUCUAAAAAUGUAUAAUUGAUUUUUUUGUCUUAAUUUAUUUUUGUGUUAACUUUAUAAAAUUAAUUUUGUAAGUAUUAGAUUAAUUUUAUUUGGGGGGGGGGGGAGGGGAGUGGGGAAGAUGACAACCAAAAAAUGGGUAUGCAUAUGAAUUUUGGUCCAAUAACUUUUUUGUUGACUUUUCUUCACUUUAUCUCACCUUUUUGUUUCAGCUGGGUCACACCUACAACAGAUUUAAAAAAAGAUGUACAUGUACAUCUACAUUUCCAUCUCAUGGUGAUGAUGUAAAUUUACACUUAUUUACACCUCCCCAUUGCAAAUGAUUCCAAUCACAAAAGGUGUAUAUUUAACAUACACCCCAUUAUACACCUCCCCCCCCUCCCCAAUUGUGGAUGCUCUCAUCACAAACCAAAACUCAAAUCCCUAGCAUAUGAGGAAAUAGAGAAGGAAGAGAAAAGGGAAGAGGGGUUGAGAGGAAAGAGAGAGGAGGAAGAGGUGAGGAAAAAAUAAGGGAGAUGAGGGUAGGGGAGGAGUGGCAAAAAGGGUGUGAGGGGCUAGGGUUUUUUCACUAAGAGCGCUAUAAUUAUGCAUGCUCUUAAACCCUAAUGAAACUACCAAUACUACAUUAUAAAUAGUUUAUAUACCAACAUCCCGAGUGGAACUAACUAUAGACAUGAGGUUGCCAUGGUCCUCUACAGGGAUAGAGUUACACACAGGCCAGAAGUGGCUAUGGCCCCCUAAUUCUCAUGAAUUCCAUUGAAGUUUUUAUAUAAAACUUGAAAAUCGGUAUGUAAUUUCAUAUCUUUUUAAACUAUUAGCCCUCCUAAUAUUUAGACUCUAGCUCCGCCAUCGGUCCUCCAAUCUCCAUAAAACUUCUUUGUCAUUUAACAUCUAUUAUAUGGUAACUCAGAAAAUUUGAACAAAUUAUGCUUCACCACUGCCUACAUCUAUAAUUUUGACAGAUUCUACGAUGAACUCACUGAACUUUAAAUAGUGACCUGGCAAAAAUAAUUUUUAUUAUAAAAAUAAUAGAAAAAGACAUACGAAUUUAUCAAGAAGCUGCUGCUGCUGCAUUGCAUGAACUUCUUUUUAAAUGGUCCAAAAGGUUUUCAUGUGAAAGAAAACUUUUGCAAGGUAGGCCGGCAACAACAUCUUUCAAGAUCGCCAUCUAUAUUGGGUUGACUUGACUUUAAUCUUUGUCGCUGUCCUCCAACUCUCACUCUCACAUGACAUACGUUGGACAAAAAAGUAUUGGCGGGAGGGACCCACUAUAUUUAUAUCUUUCCUUUUUCUCCCAAGACAAACAGUAAUGUUGUAUGUAGGGAUAUCUGUGGACCAUUUAUAACCUGAAUCUGAAAUCAGAAUCAAAUUUUGAAUUUGAAGCCUGGCCCAUGUAUUAUUCAACCAGCCCUUUCAUUUGCUUGCAUUUUCUUUUGGGCUCAGUUCAAAAGUUUCAACCAUGCAUGACGCAUGCACAAGUUCUGUAUUUCAUAUAAUAUAUUUUUCUUCUUCGGUAAGGUUGUACUUACCUUUCUAAUGUUGAAAGAGAUUCCAAAAUUCGAAUUCCUCAUCCUUAUAAUUUAUUUUAUUAAACAAAUGAUUUUAAUAAGUGUCGUGAAAAAAGAAAAGCAAAUUUUAUGUAAAUAUGCGAAUUGUCACGAUAGUCUUAUUCCUUUUUUUUACUUUAAUUCUAAAAAAAUUAUUGUUAUUUUUCAUGCUUCCAAAAGACAAUUAACCAUUUCCUCUUUAAUUCCUUCAGAAGACGAAAAUUAUGUGGAAAAUUUGUCACGCAUAAACUAAAUACUUUUAUAAAAUGAAAAUGGUAGGUCCAAUGGCCUUUAACCCACAACUUCUAAUCUCAUUCUUACACAUCUAGUUGUUUGUAUCUGGUUAGAUAAGGAUUUUAGUGCAUGGCUUUGAUUUUACUAUCACACCCCGGGCGCGGGUAGAGUAAAAUCCUCAAUAAAUAAAAGAAGAUUAAAGGAUCAACUCUUUUUAUUUAUUUAUGGAAUAUCAAGAAAAUUGAUCAUUUAGUAUUCUUUUAUUUAUUUACUUUAUUACGCACCGAGUUUGGAGCUUUACUCUAUUUCUAAGUUUGAGAUGUGACAUUUAUUGAUUCUGUAGAUGAGAUGACCAAAAUGACAAUAGAUCACUUGAUAAACUAGCUGAAAUGUUCAACAUAUUGACAAGUUGGGAAGGGCCCGUGACUGUGAUACCGCCGCCAAGCUGUUGUGUGUUAUUGGACCUUUUCUCCUGGACAGUGUCGUAUGAGUAUUAGGAAUAGGCGUGACUGUCACUUGCGCCUUGCUUCUUUUCCCUAUAUAAAAAUACGCGCAGAAUCAGUCAAUGCUCUUAGAGCGUGGGGUACACUAAUUCGGAAAGCGCAUGAGGUAGACUUCGAAGAAAACAACGUGCCUCUGUGCUACACGCAUACACCUAAUAUACAAGGUGAUUAUUAUUUUUAUCUCUAGAAAAUUCAAUUGAUUAUUUAAGAAACAAGAUUCUCAGCGUAUUAAUAAAUAAAAAAACAAGAUUCCAAUAAAUUUUUUUUAAAGAUAAAUUUAGUUAUAUACCCAUUUUCAGUCCUAUUAAAUUUAAUUUUAAAUUACUUUGAUGCCAUAUUAAGUGUUUUGUGUUUAUUUUUAUGAGGUUUUGGGGUUGAGUUUGUUUUAAAAAAUCGAUGACAGUUUUAUAAUUUAUAGGAAGUUCGAAGUCUAUUUGUUAUGUUGUAAAUCGGCUUUGGGUGUGUUUCUAAGUCUAUUUCAUGUAAGUUUUUAUUUUAUUUUAUAUAAAUUGAGCUCCUAUAUUGGGUGUAAUAGUGAAUCUUUAUUUUUUUAAUAGUUAAAUAUAUUCCUUAUUCCUUAUGUUCGACACGACAUUUUUCUAUAUUGGACAAGUUUUUUUUUUUUUUUUUUAAUAUACGAAUUAUAUUAGACAAGUUGAAAACCAUUAAGAUAUCUAAUUGUGAUCAACAAAUUUGAUAAACACAAUGCUUUCAAGAAAACACUAAAAUGACAAUCAUUGAUUGUGUAGCCAAAUAGUUUCAAAUUCAAGUAUUUUUUGCAGAGAUAAUCUUUGGAGGAACAUCUAAAAUAUACAUAGUUUGGGUCAUUGAAAUACAAUAAAGAAUGGCCUCGCAAGUAUGUACUUCAAAUAAAUUUAUUUGAGAGAUGUGUCAAUUGAAAACUACUCAUCUAUAAAUUGUCAAAUAAAGUAGGAUAAAUAUUCAGAUAUGCUCACCUAUGCUCAUAAACACUCAUCUUUUAUUCUUCUUCAAUAUGGAGGUAUUUAUAGAGAAAGUACAACCCUAAAUAAAAUAGAAAAUAAAUUCAAAUUACAAUAGAAAAUAAAUAUAAAUUACAAUAGGAAAUAAAUCUCAAUUAUAAUAGGACUAAAUAAAUGGGUAAGUAACCAAAAUCCUAACAUAGUAAGGAACCAAAAUGCUAACUAAGUAAGGACUCGCCAACACUCCCCUUCAAGUUAGGCAAAGAUAUUUCGCACGCCCAACUUGACAAGCGAGUCACAGAACAUCAUACUUGAGAAGCACCAAUUGUAGAGAAGGUCUUUUCGUCAACCACAAGUGAAACAAGUGACAAACUAAAGCAAAGUUCGCAGCGGAAACACAAGAGCAAACUCUAAAAAAUAGUGCACAUAGCAAAACAUAGAAACCCUGUGAGCACAGCAAUAGGUAAGGCAGAACACAGAAACUCUGUGAGGACGGCAGUGGAUAAGGCAGAACACAGAAAUCCUGUGAGCACGGUAGUUGAUAAGGCAGAACACAGAAACCCUGUGAGUACGGUAGUAGAUAAGGCAUAACACAGAAACCCUGUGAACACGGCAGUAAAUAAGGCAGAACACAGAAACCCUGUGAGCACGACAGCAAAUAAGGCAAAACACAGAAACCCUCGAAAAAAUAAGAUAAGGCAAGGUAAAGAAAGUCAAGAGUAAAGGCAAGGUCAACGGGUGUAACCACAACGAAAACACAACAGCAAAUACAUGAGCAACAAUAUAUACAUCCACGUGAUAUGCAUACAUUAUUUUGAAAAUUUAAAACUACCUAUAUAUGCGAGACACUCGAAAUAUUGCAAAUAUAACAAUAGAAAUUAAUAAAAUUACAUAAAAACGAUGAUGAAAAGUAGAGUAAAAGGGAUGAAAGUGUAUAGGUUAAAACAUGGUAGUACAACUACCACAUUACCUAUAAUUUUUAACUUAUUAUUCAAAUUAAGGAAAUAACAAAAAUACGGUUGAUAUAAUGUAGAUAUUUUAGGAAUAUCAAUAUGAAUCCACACAUUUAAAUAAUUAAUUUAAUCAACAAUUCAAAUUAACCGUCAAAUCAUAACAUACGUUAUAAUCGAAAAAUAACAUGUAAGAUUGUGUGACAAAAGUAUCAACAUAUCAAUUGUAAAUAACAAUUUACACAUCAUUUUAAGUAAAUGACACCCUAUUCUAAAAUUACCAUUUUGUCAGGGUUUAUAUAUCAAUUUGCAAAAGCACAAAUGGUGUCGUACAUGAGGACAAGCUUGGGUGUGCAGCCUGAGAAUCCUAAAAGGCCGAGCCCUGCUGUGCGGCACGGCUCGGACCACAAAGCGCCAAGGUGUUUCCUUUUCGCGCUCUCAGAUUCUAGCUGGCAGAGAUUCCCAGGCCCAUGUAAACAGUUUAAAGGGCAAAAAUGUCAUUCAACUACCUCUAUUUUCUUAAAUUAAACACUUGGGGAGCACAAAGUGCCAUUUACCAAAAAAUACGAAAUACGAAAAAUACAAAACCAGCCCCCAUUUUAAAUUACAUGGCCCUCACCCCCACACAGUCUUCCAACUUCCAUUCAACCCCAUAUCAGAAUUUUCCAUUGAUGCCCUUCAAGCCUCCGGUUAUUCACGCCGGUCCUACGUGGGUAUUUUGGUCAUUCAGUCGUUGUCCAGUGCCUUUUUCUUUUGUGUGCUCUGUGUAUCUGUGGUCUUGUUGGUUCUCUGCGGCCAUUCAUUCGCUGUUAUCAGGUGGUCAGGUGCUCUGCGUGCUUCUGCUCGAAGCAUAUACACACACACACACACACACACACAUACAUACAUACAUACAUACAUACUGUGCUCAAAAUCAAACCCCAAAAAAACCCACAAAAAAAAAUAAGGGUCUGUGACCUUACAUGGUCUUCUCUCUUGGUCGGCCAUGGUGGUGAUGGAGUUCAAAACCCUAGCAAUCAGAGCUCAAAAGCAGCAGCAGCUCUCCAUGUUGAGCCUCAGGUGCCUCCUCAACACUCUCUUCCACCAUUGUUUUGCUUUCGAUGUUUACAAUAACAUGUUUCCAAAAAUCUUUUUUCUAUUUUUGCUUCACUUUCUCAUCAUCGGCUCUGUCUUUUCCUUCUUUAUCUUUUGAUUGUUCAAAAAAUUUCAGCUUUUUGCCAUUUCUGGAGCUCUGAUUACUUUCUCGUUUCCAUUUCAGACGUUGUUUGGUUCCCUUUUUUUUUUUUUUUUUUUUUUUUCAUUCUUGUUUGUGUUAGGUGAUUCGAUGAAGUUUUUUUUGUUUUUGUUUUUGUAUUCUGAGUUAAGGUGUAGUCUGGGAUGAGUUUGAUUAAAAAAUUUAUCUAAGUGAUUUUAGAGCCAGAAUAGUUUACAUUUUUUCCCAUGCGUUUUGGUAUUAUGGUAGUUUUAGCUAUUAAUGGUGGAGAUAAUAAUUUUCCAAACUUGUUGGAACUAAUAAGUUUGCUGCUAAAUGUACUAACCCCAUGCUUUUGUUCAUUCAAUGUAUAUCACUAGCGCAAGGCAUGACUAAUGAUUGUUUGGAGCUUUAAAAGGAUGAAUUUUAGUUUUAUUAUCUACAAAAUUGGACGUAAUUUUUAUUUAUUUAAAAAAGGAAUUUCUGUUCUUGUUUUGGUAUUUUGUUUUGAGAAAGAGAGUAAUUUGGCCCAACAUAUUUGUAUGACUUUGACUCUGUUUGGCUGCUCGGAAAAUGUCUGUAAUGAAUGAAAAGAAAGAAGAAAGAAAGUAAACUAUGAUUGCUUGGCCCAACCACUUUUCCUAAUUUUCUUGUUGUCUUAGUUAUCUCGUUUUAUUUUCUGCAAUGAAAGUUUAAGCAGUUAAUGGUCUUGUUGCAUACCAAUUUAUCAAGUUUAGUAAACCUUUCUGACAUGUUAAAAUGUAGUGUUGUAAUGUUAUUUUCCUUGCGCAAUUGUUCAGGGGAUUGUCACAUCCAAUCAAAGCACUCCAUGUUCUUAUGGUUUUAGCAUGUACUCUUUUCUACCUCGCUACAUGUGGACAAUGCUCUGGGAAUGGGAUGCAAAUAUUAUCAGAAUAUGAUGCUUGUGGAUCAUAUGGAGAUAAUUUUGAUGUGGCUUUUGCGGAUAAUUUUCUUGGUGACAGCACUUUGGGCUGUGGAAUUCCAAGAAACCCCUUCAAUAUUGAUAAGAUUUGUACUAGCUCUCGUUUGUUCUGCUUUCCCUCUACAUUACCGGGUUUUUUGGAGCAUAAACUCAAAGUGGCUGAUUUAGAAGUUUCUGGGAGUCAGUCUGAUGAUCUGUCAUCUAUAGGAUCAACUGAAAAUAUCAAGUUGGCAAAUAACAAAAGCUGGUCAUCAGACAAUGGUAUGUUUAAGUUAUUUAAUGGAGGGAUUGUUUCUUGUUCUUUGAACUCCAAAGCGGCUACUAAUGAGUUUUCAUCCAUUCAAACUGAUAGUGCUAAUCCAAAUGAUCUUUCUUCCUGUAGAGGACCUUUACUUUAUCAGAAAAGCACAAGUUUUAGGCCGAACAAGAACACUGAGAUGACCAAAUCUAAUUCUUUCAGUAGUUCUUCCUCUCCCCAUGUAGAAAUUAGCCCUGCUGUAUUGGAUUGGGAACAAAAGAACAUGUAUUUUCCAUCAUUAGCUUUCUUAACUGUGGCAAAUACAUGCAAUGACAGCAUUUUACAUGUUUAUGAGCCAUUCAGUACUGACAUACAGUUCUAUCCUUGCAAUUUUAGUGAGGUUUUGUUAGGACCUGGUGAAACAGCUUCAAUUUGUUUUGUAUUUUUACCUAGAUGGCUGGGCUUGUCCUCUGCUCACCUCAUUUUGCAGACAAGCUCUGGUGGUUUCUUGAUUCAGGCGAAAGGUGUUGCCGUUGAGUCUCCUUAUGGAAUUCAUCCUUUAUUAGGCCUGGAUGUUUCCUCCAGGGGAAGGUGGAGUAAGAAUUUGUCUUUGUUUAAUUCCUUUGAUCAAAAUUUUCAUGUGGAGGAAGUAAGUGCAUGGAUGUCAGUGACUCUGGGGCAUACUUCCCAUUAUGCAGAGGCAAUAUGUAGUACUGAAAAACUUCAACCUUCCAAUGAACUUCAGUUUCUGAGUGUGAAAGAUCGUUUGGUUGUGAGUACUGGUCAAGUUGGUUUGCCUCUGCUGGCCAUGAGGCCUCUCAGGAAAUGGGAGAUUGAUCCACACAGCAGUGAAACUAUCAUAGAAAUAGACAUCUCAAUGGAAUCGAAAGGAAAAAUAUUUGGUGCAAUUUGUAUGCAGUUGCUAAGGUCUUCAGAGGACAAGUCUGAUACUGUUAUGCUUCCUUUUGAGGCUGAAUUGGAUGGAACAGCAAUGGAUGAUGAUCGUGGAGGACCCAUAUUAGCAUCUCUUGAGGUUUUGGAGUAUUCUUCCAAUGAAACUGCUGUUGCUAUAUCUCUGAAGAAUUGUGCUCCUUACCUUUUGAGAGUUCUUGAGAUUACUGAGGUUGCAGAUAGUAAAACCUUCCAGAUAAAAUACAGUCAAGACUUGUUACUUUUCCCAGGCAGUGACACAUAUGUUUCUGUGGUUACUUGUACUGAAAGAAAUGUCAAAUUAUAUGGACACUGUACAUUACUUAUAUUGACAAAUGACUCAACAAGCCCACAGAUUGAAAUUCCGUGCCAGGAUGUUAUUCAUUUAUGUUCAAGACAUUGGAAAGGUUCUACCACUGAAUUUGAACAUCAGUCAGAAAGGAGUGAAUCAGGUGAUAUGAACAGAGUGUCCUUUGACAGUGGCUUGCAGUGGCCAUCACAGAGGGUAAGCAGAUUCUUCCCCUAUAUAUAUAUAUUGUAUGUAUAUAUUUUAUACUCUGUGUAUGUGCGUGUAUGCAUUGUGAAUUGUGUUUGCAUUGGAUUGGCCUUUUGAUUUUUUUUUUUUAAAUUUAAAAAAAUACAAACGAUAGUCUAAACUACAAGGGGGAGGGGGUUUCUCACACACACACACACACACACACACACACACACACUACCAAUGUGCCAUGGGGUUUGGACCUAAGACCACUUGUCUGCAAGUCAAGGCCCUUUUCCACUGGGCUAGACCUCGUCGGCUGACCUUUUGUUACUUCAUAUGGUUAUUCAUCGGUUUUCGAGAAAGUGAUCAAGUAUUUUCCUCUCAUUUAUUAGGAUGAAACAUAUUCUUAGUUAUUUGUAAAAGUAAUCUUCAGGGAGUUGGAGUCGGCAGGUGUUCAUUGCUGAAAUCCGUAAAAAAAUAUGUGUUUGUCUGUAACAAUUUUAUUGACUAUUAAGGUACGGCAUGCGUUUAUCUGUGGCUGCAAUUGUGGUAUUUUUUUAGAAUUAUUUAGAUUUUUUUGUUGUGUGUUCAAGGUUAUUUACUCAUGAACUAUCUAUGACCAAUCAUGCUCUGUGAUAUUCUUCUCUCUAUAAACAUCAACAUCCACAAUAACCAAAAUAUUUUUUUGUGCUUGCACAUGAAGGCAACAGAGACAGCAGAAGCAGAUGAAUUGGUGCUGCAGAACUGGAAAUCUCAAGAUACCAGAAGUGGCAUGUCUGUGCUUGAUGAUCAUGAGGUAUUCUUCCCAAUGCUUCAGGUAGGAAGUCAUUACUCUAAGUGGAUCACUGUAAAGAAUCCUAGCCAAGAGCCUGUAGUGAUGCAGCUUAUACUGAACUCUGGGGAGAUUAUUGAUCAAUGCAAGACCCCAGGUGGUCUUAUACAGCCUCCUUCAUCUGGUAGUUUGGUUCGUAAUGAAUCCACUUCUCCCAGUAGGUAUGGGUUCUCAAUAGCAGAAAAUGCACUAACAGAGGCUUAUGUUCAACCAAAUGGUAGAGCAUCUCUUGGACCAGUAUUGUUUCACCCUUCCAGUCGAUGCAAGUGGAGAAGUUCAGCCCUCAUAAGAAACAAUCUUUCUGGCGUGGAGUGGUUAUCUCUGAGGGGAUUUGGAGGAUCACUUUCCUUGCUUCUGCUUGAAAAGUCUGAGGCUGUUCAGAGUGUAGAAUUCAACCUCAGCUUACCACUUCCUCUCAACAUUUCUCCUCCAGACAUGUUAUUUCACACGGAAGAUGCCACUCAUUCUUGUUUACGCCCAUUAGCAAAACAGCUCUAUGCUAAGAAUACAGGAGACUUGCCACUGGUGGUUAGAAGAAUCAAAGUGUCCGGAAAAGAGUGCGGGAUGGAUGGGUUUAUGGUACAAACUUGCAAAGGUUUUGCUCUUGAACCUGGAGAGUCAGCAAAGCUUCUGAUAUCAUACCAGACUGAUUUUUCUGCAGCCUUGGUACAACGGGAUCUUGAGCUGGCCUUUGAAACUGGUAUUCUGGUGAUACCCAUGAAGGCAAGCAUCCCUUUGCAGAUGAUCAAUAUAUGUAAGAAAUCAGUGUUCUGGAUGCGCGCUAAAAAGUACUCUGCAGCAGUACUACUUCUUAUAUCCUUGAUGUUUCUAGUAUUUUGGUAUAUAUUCCCCCAGGUGCUGGCCUUUUUCUCCCAUGAUUGUUUGUGGGUGAGCGGAAAAAGUUCCUUGGCUACUUCUACAAGUAGUUCAGAGAAAGUUUCUCAUGUGCAUAACUAUAGAGACAGUAAUUUUUCUGUGUCUGGUGAGAUAAACAGUUUGCUAAGAUCAGUUCGGGAAGAUAGAACCUUAAUGCAGGCAGUUGACCAGGCUGGGGCCUCAGAGCGGGAAAAAUUUGCUCAACAUGCAAAGCAAAUUCUACAAGGUCAUAGACAAACAAACUAUUUGUCAGAUACACGAAAGAAUAAAGCCAUGGCCUUCUCAUUGAUGUCUGAAUCGGUAUCAGUUGAGAAUUCUGACGACCUAGAAGCAUCCCAACCCGGUAACCUCACAGUCAAAACUGGAAAUGAAAAGGGAAGAAGGCGUAAGAAGAGAAAGGGUGCUGGUUCUAAGUUGACAGGACUUCUUGAAGUUUCAAGCAGUCAAAGUGGAAAUUCUACACCUUCAUCACCAUUGUCUCCAGUCACAUCUGUAACACCAAAACACAUGUGGCCACUAUCUCCCGAUCUGGGUCAAGCUGUUGAGGCCAGGAAUCCAUUUACUCAAGUAGCUCACCAACGCUGCCAGAAGAGUCCUGUCUUUAAAUCGGCCUCCAAGGCAAACUUAUCAUCAGGGCCUGAGGUUUCUUUGAAGAAUUUCAGUAACCACCAAACUUUUCCUUCUCAAGAGCAGCCUUCACCACCAAGAAAAGCUGCUGCCAGACCUGUUUUGUUGCCGUCUGCCACCUUUCCUUGCGCUGGAAGGCCUGCUCCUAAUGCGGUCUGCACUUCCCCUUUUCCGGCUUCAACCUCGGCUAUUUCUCCACUUGCUAGAGCCCCUGGGUCCAAACUCUAUGAGCAGAAAAAUGUUAGAGAAGAACGAAAGUCUCGGUUUGGGGAUGAAUAUAGAUAUGAUAUAUGGGGUGACCAUUUUCCUAGGCUUAAGUUGACUACGACAAACAAUGUUACUUCAAUGAUCUCCAGCACUUCAGAGAGCGAGAGCGACUCUAAUAGCUUCUUUGUAAAGGGUCCGCAAACCCUCAUGACAAGGUCUCCACCAAGAUCUGUAAGUUUUUUCCAUCAAGAUGGUUAAUGAUAAAAAAGAAAAACUAAAUAAUUUAUCAUGUUUCUCUGCUGCCAGCCAUCAUCAUUGUCAUCUGUAAAUAAGAAACUGAAAAAAGUAGCGUCUGCUGUAAAUUGAAUAGCUUAAUAUCAAAAAGAAAAAAAGGAAAAAAGUUCAGAGAAAAUAAACACUAACAAUGAGGUAAAGAUCAAAAGGGAUCAUCAAAUUGUUCUAUAAACUUCCUUUUCAAAAAUAAUAACAAUAUUUUACUUAAUGGGCUUCACUUUAUUGAAGUGGAUGCCUUAGAUUUUCCACUGCUCACUUCCUUUCACGAAAAUGCUACAACGGGGAGUUUAGAGUGAGGAGUUUAUUUUGGGGUUCAAUUCCACCAUCAACAAAUGUGAGGAAAUUAAUGAACUUAAAUAUUUUAAAUGAUUUGAUAAUAAGAUUAACCCCUCAAAUAAGCUUCUCACUCUAAACUCAUCCUUCCCUUUCGGUCCUUGGAUUUCUAUAUAAAUUGAAAAAGCCUAGCCCAAUAUAAUAAUUUCCUGGAUCAUAUUUGUACAACUUGGUCAACAAUCUGAGCUCUGAUAUUGCACAUUUGGCACCAACCCAACCCAACAAAGAUUGUUUUUUUUCUUUUUCAAAACAAAGAUUGGUAUAUGGACAAUGAUGAAAAUACAAUAUGAAAACUCCCAAUAAAUCUAAGCAGUACAUUUUCUGCUGGCCGUUACUUUUUAUUCCCUCGUCUUCAACCAGUCUUGUGAAAUUGACCAAAAGUUGAAUCCCCUACUGGAUUAAUUUGUCCAUUUUUAUGUCCUGGAGCGAACCGUCUAAUCACUUGUCCAUGCAUGCCCCAUUUACACACACGCAUGCAACAAGCACAGUUUUGGCAGCCAUUUUGGGUAUGAAGAUUGCAACUUUACAGUGUUGUCAUGGCUGCCUGAGUCCACUGUACUGCAUGCAUUACUGUACUUCUUAAUAAAAAUGAGAGGACAGGUAUAGAUUAGAUGGACUUUUAGUGCAUGGAUAGCCGUGAUGGCGACGGUAGAGACGAUCGCGCAUGCGUCUUCUGAGGAAGAUAGAGCCAUAAAAGAAAAGAUGAUCGUAUUGCAAAAACUGAUUCAUAUGGAUAGAGACUUUCUGGGACCAUUAUUUUGGUCACAGAGCUGGCAUUACCCUUAUUUGUCAUAAAGCUAGCAUUACUACAUGCAACUAAACAGUGACCUUGCUCAGCUGCCACUAAAUCUUCAACAUGGCCAUUGGUAAAAUGUGUAAAAACAUCGGAAUUUACUUGGUACGUGUAGUUUUCAGGUGAUUGCAUCCACCCUUAAUAUUCGUCAAAAGACCUUUUAUCCGAUGAGAGUGGAUCGAGAACGUUUUCAUCACAACCCCCACCCCACCAAAAAAAAGCCUCUCUCUUACAAGCUAAUUGAUAAAAGGGUUAGGGGAUCAGAUGCUCUACCAUAAAGCUUUGCUCUCUCAUUCAAUCCAUUAGUUGGUCUUGGCAGAAGGGUAGUGCAUAAAAGUGGUCCAAUAAAUGGACCACAGCUACAGUAUUGAGAUAGCUAACCUUCUGUAAUAACUUCAUGCAAAUGUAAUCUUAAUUAAGUUGACUUUUAAUGGUCUCUAAUAUAUGCUUAAGCUAAAUAUAUGAAGCUUGCAACAAUCCAAAAGGCAUUUAAUCAAUCGGAGAUUUGUAGUUUUUCCUACCUAGAUCAGGUAUCUAUGUAAACAUAGUGAAAGUUGAUUAGACUUCCCAACUUGAAUUAGGGCUAAAUUUACACAAAUAGAAGUCCAAAAUUUUGCUUAUUUAACAAUCUAGUAUGAAAGAUUCUAUGAAUUUUGCUUAUUUAACAAUCUAGUAUGUUAUGUUGCUAGAUUGUCAAUGUACGUAAUAGAAAAAUUGUAUAAAUUUUCACUCGAAAUAAAAUAAAUCUUUUCAAUUCUUAAUAUAAGUCUCGAUGUGAUCUUUUAAAUAUUAUGAAUUGUUUUAAGUUAAAAUUUUCUUCUCAGAACAAUUGAGCAAGAUGAAGAAACUUUGUGUACCAAAGACUGAAAAGUAUAGCUAGAUUGAAUCAUAUGAAAUCAAACAUGCCACACAAAAGCAACUUCAUAUUUGUUUCGGUAAAAUGAUUAUUUAAUUCUCGAAGCCCUUUCUAAAACCAAACAUUCAAAUUCAAAUGCCCUGAAAUUGUAAUAUUUAAAACUUGUAUCAAAUAUUAAAUAAAAAAAGAAAGAAAGAAGUGGAAAAUGUCCAGUAAGAAGUGAGAACUGGUGUGAGUGGCUGUCCCUCCACUAGAUAGAGUGGUUGAGCCACUGAGCUCACAUUGGAUGGUGUAUCCUCUUCGAUCAGCCACGAGCCCUAGUCCCCAAAAAUCUACAGCAAAGCCAUUUGCGUUUGCAUAAAGAAACAAAGGCCUCAAAACCAAUCAAGCCAAGACUAACAAAUGUCGCCAAGGAAAAAGGGAGAUUAAUAUAUGACAAAAAAGUUUUUAUUUUUUUGGUUAAAUAGUUUUCAAAUGUUCGAUAUAAUAUUGUACCCAAUGAGGACAAGGACCACUACUAUUCCCGAUUGAUAACAACUUUUGGUUUCAAUUUUUUUUUAAAUUUUUUUUUAUUAAUCAUAUGGUUUUAGUACUACAAAAUCAAAGCUUUCCUAACUAAGCCCCACAAGAAGGAAGUUGUUAGUUGCCACAGAAAUGGAUGUUGGUUUAGAUGAGCUUUCUCGAAUAGUCAAUUUCUUAUUUGGAUCUGUCUUCCAUUGCCUAGUUCUCCUUAGUGUAACAAGUGACAACAAUCAAAAUCAAUUAAAAUCUUUGUAUGAAUUUUUUUUUUUUGGGAUUUUCGCUCUAUCUUUAAAUAAAAUUCAUUUGAAAAGUUACAUGAUCAUCAAAUACAAAUAGUCAAAUAUACUCAUCAACUUAUUAAUCCACUCAUAUUAUAACAUGUUUGUAUAUUCGUUAUGGCGACAGAGAAAAAUUUCUCGUGAAAUACAUAUGAUAUAUGACAUUCGUUUUCAUCAUGUAUCUUCUUAAGUUGUGUUCUUUCUUAAAAUAAAUAAAUAAAUAGAAUCAAUUAUCUACAUAUAUACAAUGGUGGCAGUCGGUGAGUCCCAAGAUGAAAUCUAGAAUUGAAAUCUCACCAGUGAGUGGAGAAGAAGGGAUUAGAGAAAGCUUAUCUGCAUGUGCUGCUGUUUUUGCCCUUUUUUCCUCAGUCUGCAUCAGUAUCUUCAGCAUUGUUUCCACUUUCUUUUUCGGCUUUCCGCGACCUCAUCUCUAUCUUUCACAGUUACACUACAAUGUCUACAUAUGUACUGCUUAGCCCCAAAUUUUUUGGUGGGUCUUGGCCUCCCCUAUAUUUGGGACCGCUAAAAAGAAGGGCCACCUAAUUAGGACCAUCUCUUGAAAAUCUUUUGGGAGGCAUUGGAAAAGACCAAAUGAGAGAGAAAUUUUUUAAAAGAAGCCAAAAUGAACAAAAUUACCCUUAUUUAUUUUUGGAUUUUCUAAAGAAUCCUUUACAUUUGCAUGUCUUUGUUUUGAAAGUUGAGAGGUUUUUCUGUCUUUUUUAAAAAAGCUUUGGCUUUUUCCAAAAGUGAAAGUUUUUUUGUGGCUAAAACCUAAAUUUACUAAAUCUCUUAAUUUGUGUUACUACUUUAAGGUAAAGAAUUGUACCAUAUGUCAUCAAUUUUCAACCCUAAUAUCAUAAAGCUGCACAUCAUGUCAUAUACAUACUAUCUUGCUAUAUGUUUGUGUGAGUUUUCCUUUCCUUUUUUUUUUUUGACGAAAAAAAUAAUAAUAUUGUAUUAUAAUAUGUAUCACAUGUUACACAACUCUAAAUAACAAUCUAAUUAAUCACUCCAAGAUGUUUAAUUUAGACCCAUUUUCCAAAAAAUUAUUUUCUUUUCUUCUUGUUAGAGUGUAGGAAUGAAAAAAUAAAAGAGGAAUUAAAUUGUUGAAGCAAAUAAUCUAGCGUUUGGUAGAUUCUAAUUAAAACUAGCUGCAUGCACAUUAGUAAACGUGGGGCAAUCAUCAUUGCGUUUUAAUGAAUGAUUUGGCAGAUGUUUAGACAUUCCCACUUUAAUUGAAUAUGACAUGCCACCAUAUAUGUGUUAAGGUCCGGUAAAAGCGAAUGCCUAUUGGGUCUCUUGCUAAAUUAUAUAUACAAGAUAAUUAUGGGGCCCUACGGCCCCUACCUAUAUUACCAAAUAUUUUGGGAAUAAUAUUAAUGAAGAAGUCAUGGCCAAUUUCUAGGGGUUUUUCUUUUCGUUUACAUUUAUUUUAGUUGUUCAUAGUUGACAUAUACACUUAUGAAUUAGACUCUAUCUACACACACAAAAUCAAAGGAGAUAAGGUUGGUGAGGGCUGAUGAUUAGGAAGGUACAACUAUUUCAAUGACAUAGACUUACCAUUCAACAUGUCCCCCGUUAAACGAAGCGGACAAAUAGUCAUAACUUCUUAUCAGCUAUGAUUAUAAUAGGGUGACGAUUUUCACGCUCGCAUUUUGUUUAUUCAAUUACCAAAAUACAAAAAUAACAGAGAUGGAAUUGCAAUAUUGCAAAUCUGCCACCCUAAUAAAAUAAACUAAGAACUGCGAAGGUUCCACCGCAGACAUCAAAAUUAGAAUGGUUAGGGAGGCUUGAUCUAUUUGUAAGUUAUAAAAAUGUUGGUUACAUUACAUGCAUGAAAAGUAAAACAUGUUUAAUGCUUUGAUUAAGAAAAUGAUUCGUUAAAUUGUGAGAAAUUUCAUGAGACAAGGUUUGCUUUUCGCCCGACAAAAAAAGUUUACAGAAUGAUGUUGAAUGAGUAGGUGGAUCGAUCGAGCUCAGCGCAUGAGACUGAGAGAGACUGAAAGACUCAGAGGCAUGCUUGCUCGAACAGCCAUGCACAUGUAUAAAUGUAGAUGAAUUAUGAAGUGCACGCUCACGUGCCUCUGCUAAUAAAAAAUGCAAAUGAAUCAUUGAGGCCAUGUACCUAAUCUUGAUUUUUCGAUCAUGUCCUAUUAUAUAUAUCAUGCAUGUUUAUAAUAUUAUAUAUUUAUAAAACUAUAUAGUCUUUAUAAUAUAUGUCACAGUGCAUCGGGAAUGUCUCUCAAAGUCUACUUUUGAUGCUAUUCUUGUGAUGCCUUCAAAGAAUGGAUGGCUACUUUUGUGUUGUCUUUAAUUUCUUGCUGUCCAUCCAGUGAGAAUGUGAUUUAUUGGUGGGUUCUGAUUUUUUUUUAUUUAAAAAAAGGCUUUUUACUGUUUUUCCUUUUGUGCUUCGGCUAGAAUCUCAAAUUUUCUUUUGAAUUUGUAAUUGGGUUAAUGCGUAUAUGUCACAUCAGCAAAUUAAUAAAUUUUUUUUGAAACUUAAUGGAAUAAGAGAACGUGGGACACGAAAUGAAAGUAUAUGAAACAUGAAAUGAAAAUAUAUGGGCACAUUGAUCCAAUUACAAGUUCAUAAGGGGAAGUGGAGAUUUGAAGCAAAGCACAAAGGGGAAAACAAUAAAUAAACCUUUUGUUUAAUUUUGUUUGUUUGUUUAUUUAGUUAUUUCUGAACAAAUGUUGUGAUGCAAUAUGUUUUGAAGUGACUAAUUGUUCUUAUCAGUACCUAUUAGCUAGAUGUGGUCUUAAUUGUGAAUAAUUAGUAUAAAUUUUGAUUGAUGCAUUUCUAUAUUAUACCCCCACAUUUUCGUUCAUGGACAUGUCAUUUUUUUCCAUGACCAAUGGUCCAAUCUAAGACCAACCAUUUUGGUGCUCACGGCUACGGAUCCCAGAUUUUAAUUGACUUAUUAUUCAUAAAAAUGUCCAUCAAUCACAAUAUGUUCCUUGUGCACAUUGAAUUGAAUACUUGCUUGAAUAUGAAGCAAGGAACAUUAAUUUCAUAACAUUAUUUGGAUUAAUCACGUAUUUCUACUUGAUUUUAGCAAUUAAUAAAUUCAUCAUUGAAGUAGUUUGCGGAGUACGUUGAUGGUUUUAUUUGGUCUCUUGUCUCUAUGUUCCCGAUGCCCCUAACAAUAAUUUUGAUUUAACCACAUUGGAUAUAUAUUACAAUAAGAUGAAAGAGAGAGAGAGAAGAGUCAUUAAAUGAGAACAUUUUUUCUCAUUAUCUGUGGAGAGGAUUAUCACAACGUUAUUUGUUGCUGGAUAUGCUAUACAAAUUCAAAAAUUAAACUUAUUCAACGACAAUAAACAUGGUGAUAAUGUUCAAAACUAACUGAAGGGUGGUGAACACAAAUAUUCUUAUGAUUAAAAUGGCUUGUGUGGGGAGUACUUAUCUAUUUUGCAUGAACAACUUUUACUCACUAAUGUUUUUGUUACUUGUCAAUAAAUCGUUUUUAUUAAAGUAAAUAUGUUAAAAAAGAACUCAUUAAAAAUCCAAGUACUUCGCGCACAUUAAUUUUUGGGACAAAUUAAAGUCAUAAAUGUGAAUAUCAUGCAAAGUAGUUGUUAUAAAAGUGCGACUCUCAAAUAUUACAAUUCACAGUGUAUAUAUGAUUAUUUGAAUAAAAUAAAAAAUCUUCGGUAAUGACAAAGUAAAUGAAUUUUCUGCAAAAUGAGGUGUGAAGGUGUACUUUGUCUAGUAUGAUGGGGAAGUUAACAACUGGCUUUCUCCAUCAUUAAUUACCACGUUUGCUUUUGCUUACUUCAAAAGGCAUUUAGCUAAAAUCCAUUUAUUGUGCAAUCAAUAAAUCUUUCAGCACAUUAACAGAUAAAUAAAUCUUUCGGUACCUAAUGAUCUGCUUCUCAUUAUGAGUAGUUUAGAUCAAGAAAUUGAUGUUUAUGGUCCCCCAUACUUGCUAACUUGGCACUUACAUUUGCAGAGGAGGUUAGUUGUCCUCACAAGUGCAGGACAACUUUCUCAAGUUAUUCUGUCUAAGAUUUACACCGAGGGCUCUCUUGUCUCUGAAAUUCGAUUGUGAGAUUGUCAAUUUGGACUAUGCAUUGUUGAGACUUAUCGAUAUUAAGUUUAUGAACCUACUUAAUAGUAAAUAUGCGUAUGAAAAUCGGUUGCGAGACUCUCGAUUUAGAUAAAAUAUCAUUCAAUAUUAUACUAUUGCCUUGUUGAACCUAUCCAUUAUUGUAAUUACCUUCUUGAAUUUACAUAACAGUAAAUAUGCGUGUAUAAAAAUUGGUUGCGAGAUUGUGAAUUUGAACCAUACAUCAUUAAAAAUUAUUAGUUUUACCUUGUUGAACCUACACAAUAUUGUAAAUAUCAUAUUUUAUGUUUAAAAAUGUUUGCUCCCAUAUAUUCUACCUCCAAAUUGCAAUAUGCCCUUUUAUAAUCAUAAUUAUUCUAAAAUGAUAUGGUAAAUGAAAGGAAAUAUCAUUCAUAAACAUCCUAUUAGGAGACAGGUUUUGAAAGACAACAGGACUGCCUUGGGAGAUUCAUUCAUACAAUUAGUUGUAAAUUGUAAAUUAAUUAAAUAAAACCAAUGUUAAAGAAUUAAGUGCAGAAAGGAAUCCGAAGAGAGAAGAUGCAAAAAGGAACGCCCAAUAAUAAAAGAGAGAAAAAAAGGUAAAAAGAAGAUUGGUUGGUCUUGAAUUAUGAUAAGUAGUAGAGGGAAUCAAAAGAGGGAAUGUGAGUGCUGUGUGUGUGCAUGUUAAUUCAUAAUGAGAGAAUUGGGUUGUCACACACAAAAGGGCUAAAAGUUGCAACUUGCACCACUCAAUCACAUUCCUGUUUCUCUUGCCAGGUCACUCUCUCUCUCUCUCUCUCUCUCUCUCUCUCUCUCACUUGGGUUGGAGCACAGUCACACCAAGUAGUCAGUACAAGAAGAAGAAGAAGCCCUAAAGUUUUGAAGGAGUGGGAGAGAGAGGGUGUGUGUUUUUAGUGCAUGUCUCUAUCUCUCUCUAACUUUCAUGUUUGUUAGUUUAAAGAAAGAUUGAACAAAUAAUAAUUAGUAGCUAAUAAUAUAUACAUUGUUGCAAUUAAAACUUUGGCUUGGCCUUGGCCCUGAUUGUUGUUUGCAAUAUAAUAAUAGCAGAAACACACUGCACAGUUGGGUUCUUUGUCCAUCUGCUAUAGGGGUGGGCAUAAAAACCGAUAAACCGAUCAAACCGACCGAACCAAACCAAACCAAACCGAAAAAUAAGGUUUUUUUGACCAAACCGAAAAAGUCAACGCUGGACCUGAACCGAACCGUUGACUUCGGUUCAGGCUUCGGGUCUAAAUUUUUUUGAACCGUUGGACCUGAACCGAACCGACCAUUAUUUAAUUAUAUAUGCAUUUGACACAUGGCGUUGUCUCAUUGGCUUAAAUAAGAACUUUGGGUGGGUCUGCUUGCACUAUAUUAGAACCUCUCUCAAUUAUUUGUUUAUUAUUUUUUCAAUAACCCUAUCAGACUCUCUCUCACACUCACUCGGCCGUCUCUCUCUCUCUCUCUCACUCACUCACUCACUCACGAAACGAAACCCUAUUUCUCUCCCGAUCUGAGACUAACCCUCACCUCAUCGGCCGCCGUCGGUGCGCGCUCUCUGUCUCUCUCUCGACUCGUCCCUUGGCUCUCUCCCACUCUUCACAUCUUUAAGUCUCUUAGAGUCGCGCGAGACUCAUUCUCUUUCUCCAAACCAAACCAAACAUCAUCCAAUUUUAUUGGUUUUUGGAGCGAAUCCUUGUAAAUUCUGGAGGGCUCUGGUUCAUUCUAAGGUAAUUUGUAUGUAUUUGGUUUGAAUUCUUAGUUGUUUUCAUUUUCCCUAAUUUAGUAGAUUAUUAGGGUUUUGAAAUUUUGGUAUUCUGUUGUAAUUAACACAAUUUGUUCUUAAUUUUGCAGUAGUUGUGCUUAGUCUCUGUGGGUUUGGAUUAAUAGGCAAAAUUGAAGGUAUAAAUAUUUCUGUCUCAAUCUCUAUGGGAUACGAUUUAUUGCAUCACAUGACUCCCAGACCAUACUUUAUGAUUUGUAUAAUCUUUACAUAGAGAGACUCGUACACCUCCAUCAUCUUUACAUGACAGUUUUUUGUUUCCCAUACUCAAUUUCAUACUUUUGUUCGCAGGCAUUCUCUUAUUAUCCCAAAAUCUCAUUUUUGUUCGUUGAAAGCCACACCCCCAGAUGUAAGUAUAUCCUAUUGAUACAAUCAGUUUGCAAUGGGUCUGUAUGAAUGUCAUGAAUCUAUUGCUAGAUAUUAUGAAAUAUGAGUAUUGAUUGCCUUCAUAUGUUAUGCAUUAGAUGAUAUUGAUGAGAAGAAUUUCUUGAUAUGCAUAUGGACUAGAGUUUAUGAUCUGGGUUCUUCUCCCAAAAGUUUGAUUACAAACCCUUGGCUGUCUGAGCACUCUUAAUCUGUUUUCUAUUAUCUUCCAAUCUGUAGUUUUGCAAAACCCAUAAAAAAUUUCUCAAAUUUAUUGGCUUUUUUUUUGCUGUAAAAUUGUUCUUGUUUGGUAGGGUUUAUAUGGCAGUAUGGAGCUUAUGAUGAUAAUUUUUAAAUAUCUUAGCGGAUUUCAGUGAGACCUUAGGGUGAAUGAUCUGAUUGUUACACACACUGAGGCUCAAAUUUUAAUUAUUUUUCCUUCAAAUUUUCACAGUAGUUUUGGUUUGGUUUAAAGCGUGCAAAUCUUGAUUUGUUGGGUUGUGGUUUGCGAUGAUGAGAUGAAACACUGGACGUGUUUUGGGCAGUGGACAAGCUCAUUUGGUAUUCUUUAUUCUUUGAUUACAAUUGGACGUGAUUCCAUUACAUUCAUUAAGCAACGAAACCCUGAAAGGAUCUCUCUCCCUCUCUGUAUUCUUUGAUUCAUUUGGUAGAAACCCGUUCGUUUUUAGAGGCAAAAGAAGCAUUGUGAAGUGGGCAUAAGGUAGAAACCCGUUUGUUUUUCAAAGGUUUAGAUUCUGUCAUUUUGUGCAGAACUAAUCAUUUCCUGCUCUGAUAUUCUAUAGUUGUGAUAUUUGAUCAGGAUGCAGGUUUGACACUUUGUCGAAUUGGAACAAUGAUGAUGGAGAAGCCAUGGGAGCUGCAAAACAUGUUUUGUUUGCAGCUCUAUAAGUAUAUUUGAAUCCGAUUAUUUUCUUAUUUUUAUGUGUUCUAACUCAAAUUGGUUUGAUUUAUUUUAUUAUAUUUUGUAGAAAUGGGGAGUAAAACAUCCAUGACAAAUUUGAAUAAGACUCUCCCUUCUUAGUGUGAUUAAGAUAUGUUGGAAGGUAUUUUUAUUGCAUCUUAUUUUAAUUAUGAUUUGUUGAUGGUGAAACUUUGUGUUAAAAAGUGUUGUGUAGGUUGCUUUGUGAAGGCUUUUGGAAGAAUGGAUGCAGCAGAUUUUUUGCAAGGAUAUUAUCUCUAUGUGUAUUUUUGUGAUGGGUUGUAAUCUUUAAUGUCAUAAGUUUAAUUUGGUUUGUGUAUUAUUUUUUGUAAUGGUUUGUAAGAGAUUAUAUUUCCUUUCCUUGGUUGGUUGGUUGAAUUGAAUGUGUGUAUGUGAGAUUUAUUUAGUUUAGAAACUUAGAUUGGAAUGAUGGAUUUUUAUAGCUUGAAUUUACAUAA